ACCUUUGACUUUGGAUCUCGCCGUCUUCGUCCAAGAUGUAAAAAGAGGAUGGCCUGGGCAGCGACUGUGGUGCGUCGGGAAAGGGCGGAUGGUGCAGUGCGUCAGUGCCUUAGAAUACCACAAUCUCACCUAAGAGGAAACACAUAGAUGAUGGAUUUACGAGGGCAAACAUAUCUAGAGAGUGGAAGUGGCGGCGGUGGAUGGAGGAGAAGAUAGUUAGAUCUGGACAAUGUUCAUGGUUGCCGGUGGAGGAGAAGAUAGUUAGGUCUAAGGAGUGGUGGCGGCGGCGACGGAUGGAGGAGAAUAUGGUUAGAUCUAGACAAUAUUGAUGGUUGCAGGUGGAGGAGAAGAUAGGUGGGUCUAGAUAAUGUUGAUGGUUGUGUCGUGUGGGAGGGGAUGGCUUUAUAGUCGCGCGGUUUGGGACUAGGGGUGCGACCACGAUCCGCGUGAUGUGGGGUGCGGGCCGUCAGAUUGGAGAUGGGUGGCGGAGAAUGGGGUAAAGGAGGUGGCGCGGAUAGGUGACGUGGCGGGGUAGGCGUGUUUCUUUUCUAAGGGUGAGGUAGGGUGCGGGGAUGCGAGGAAGGCGCGUGCGUCUCGGGUAGGUGGAUGCCAGUUGGGACCGGGCGUUUUUUGGACGGAUUGCUUUUGGGCACGGCGUUGCUCGCUAUCGCAAGUUUUGGAUGGGUAUCUGGUCGAUGGGCCCAUGAGGUGUGUGGUCGUGACGAGACUAGUGCGAAGGCGUAAACUCAGAUUAUUGCUAGGACAAUUUGGAAAGCGUAUUUCUAUGUUUUCCACGGUCAAUUGAUACGAGGGGUGCUUCUUUCAGGUAUUGUAUAACACGCCUCAACAAAAAAAAAGUACUCCCUUUGUUCAACUAUUAUCUAGUUGUAGCUCAGCAGCGGCUGUCACGCCACAUAACACCUCGACUUGCCCCCCAGGGUCUCGGGGAGUUAGCGACAUAGCCGCCGACGUUUGAUGGCAAUGACGCCCCUCCUCUCCUUGUUGUGUUGUGUUUCGUGGUCACUACCACACUCUAGCUUUUUCUUUCUGAUCAACGUGGCGCUCAGUGGUGGCAGAGAGGAGGGAGGAGGUGGCAAGAGCGAGGAAGGAACUGGGGUUUUGGGGCAAGAUGGAAAUGACUUUGUCUGUUUGCCAUUUCCGGAGAUAGACGAGACUAGGGGCUUUAAUAGUUGGAGGGACAUCUACAGGUAGGUGGGUGGGUGGAACAAUUUUCUUUGGGAGAAAUAGCCUUUCUAUCGGCAUUCUGGGAACAAGGGUACCCAGACUUGCCUGCCUGCGGCCCAUGGCGUGGCUCCAUCGACGGCCUGGUACGGCCCAUCCACAACACCUUCAAGACAAGACCCUCGCAAGGGGCCAAGCCUCGCGAGGCGGGCAACAUCAAGACCUCCGGGGGGAGCGGCCUGAAGGAAAUAUGCCCUUGAGGCAAUAAUAAAGUUGUUAUUUUAUAUUUCCUUAUAUCAUGAUAAAUAUUUAUUAUUCAUGCUGGAAUUGUAUUAACCGGAAACUUGAUAGAUGUGUGGAUACAUAAACAAAACACCGUGUCCCUAGUAAGCCUCUACUAGACUAACUUGUUAAUCAAAAAUGGUUAAGUUUCCUAACCAUAGACAUAUGUUGACAUUUGAUGAAUGGGAUCACAUCAUUAGGAGAAUGAUGUGAUGGACAAGACCCAUCCGUUAGCUUAGCAUAAUGAUCGUUCAGUUUUAUUGCUAUAGCUUUCUUCAUGUCAUAUACAUAUAUUCCUUUGACUAUGAGAUUAUGCAACUCCCGGAUACCGGAGGAAUGCCUUGUGUGCUAUCAAACGUUACAACGUAACUGUAUGAUUAUAAAGAUGCUCUACAGGUAUCUUUGAAGGUGUUUGUUGGGUUGGCAUAGAUCGAGAUUAGGAUUUGUCACUCCGAGUACCGGAGAGGUAUCUCUGGGCCCUCUCGGUAAUGCACAUUGAUACAUCUCCAACGUAUCUAUAAUUUGUUAUUGUUCCAUGCUAUAUUAUAUUCUGUUUUGGAUGUUUAAUGAGCUUUAUUAUACACUUUUAUAUUAUUUUUGGGACUAACCUAUUAACCGGAGGCCCAACCCAAAUUGCUGUUUUUUGCCUAUUUCAGUGUUUCGCAGAAAAAGAAUAUCAAACGGAGUCCAAACGGAAUGAAACCUUCGGGAACGUGAUUUUCGGAACAAACGUGAUCCAGAGGACUUGGAGUCCACAUAAAGAAAUCAACGAGGAGAGAACGAGGCAGGGGGCACGCCUACCCCCCCAGGCGUGCCCUCCACCCUCGUGGGGCCCACAUUGCUCCACCGACGUACUUCGUCCUCCUAUAUAUACCUACGUACCCCCAAACCAUCAGGGGCAUCCACGAAAACCUAAUUCCACUGCCGCAACCUUCUGUACCCGUGAGAUCCCAUCUUGGGGCCUUUUCCGGCGCUCCGCAGUAGGGGGCAUUGAUCACGGAGGGCUUCUACAUUGUGACGCCCGGAUAUUUAAGCGACAGUAAUUCCCUGUUAGUCAUGCCGUGUCACCUUAGUUACUGUUGCUAAUCUCGCGUUAGUUCAAAACCAAUUCAAAAUCAAGUCAAACAUUUAAAGUUUUCAAAAGUCAAAACUAAAAUGUUGUAAAGGUGUUAAAUAAAUCAUGGGUAAUAAUGGUGGAGAAACCUAAAUUUAAUAAAAUGUUUAAGUGUUCAAAAUAAUUAAAAUAGAGGUUUAAAUAUUAAAAUAAAUGCCUUUUGAAUUUUAUAAAAUAUUAAACUAUUUUAAUUUGGGUUGUGAAUUAAUGUGGCAAUAGUAUAUUUUAAAGUAUUAAUUUAAGUGCUAGUGAUAAUUUUUAUAAAACUAAAAUAAAAGAAAACUAAAAGUAAAACGGUAAAAGAAAAAUAAAUAAAAAGAAAAGAAACAAAACAGAAAAAUAACUAACAAAAAAAAAGAAAAGAACCCUCAGGCUCCGGCCCAGCAGGCCUGCAGCCCAACCGGGCCACCAGGCCGGCCACUCCCCAUAUCCCCCUCUCACCCGAAACCCUAACCCCCCACGCACACCACUCCCCCACUCGCGCCCCCACUCUCCCCCUNNNNNNNNNNNNNNNNNNNNNNNNNNNNNNNNNNNNNNNNNNNNNNNNNNNNNNNNNNNNNNNNNNNNNNNNNNNNNNNNNNNNNNNNNNNNNNNNNNNNNNNNNNNNNNNNNNNNNNNNNNNNNNNNNNNNNNNNNNNNNNNNNNNNNNNNNNNNNNNNNNNNNNNNNNNNNNNNNNNNNNNNNNNNNNNNNNNNNNNNNNNNNNNNNNNNNNNNNNNNNNNNNNNNNNNNNNNNNNNNNNNNNNNNNNNNNNNNNNNNNNNNNNNNNNNNNNNNNNNNNNNNNNNNNNNNNNNNNNNNNNNNNNNNNNNNNNNNNNNNNNNNNNNNNNNNNNNNNNNNNNNNNNNNNNNNNNNNNNNNNNNNNNNNNNNNNNNNNNNNNNNNNNNNNNNNNNNNNNNNNNNNNNNNNNNNNNNNNNNNNNNNNNNNNNNNNNNNNNNNNNNNNNNNNNNNNNNNNNNNNNNNNNNNNNNNNNNNNNNNNNNNNNNNNNNNNNNNNNNNNNNNNNNNNNNNNNNNNNNNNNNNNNNNNNNNNNNNNNNNNNNNNNNNNNNNNNNNNNNNNNNNNNNNNNNNNNNNNNNNNNNNNNNNNNNNNNNNNNNNNNNNNNNNNNNNNNNNNNNNNNNNNNNNNNNNNNNNNNNNNNNNNNNNNNNNNNNNNNNNNNNNNNNNNNNNNNNNNNNNNNNNNNNNNNNNNNNNNNNNNNNNNNNNNNNNNNNNNNNNNNNNNNNNNNNNNNNNNNNNNNNNNNNNNNNNNNNNNNNNNNNNNNNNNNNNNNNNNNNCGCGCCGCACACGCGCGCCGCGCCCGCGCCCGCCUGUGGCCCCUGGGCCACUGCCAGGUGGGGCCCCGCGCCCCUGAGCCACUGCCCCUGGGCCCGAACCCCCUAUGGGCCACAGACAGGUGGGCCCCGCGCCUAGAACGUAAUUAAAAAAAGGAAAAAGGGGAAUUAAAAAGAAUAAUAAUAUAUAAAUAAAGAAAGAAAGAAAAUAAAAAUAAAAUAAAAUAAAAAUAAUUAAUUAAUUAGUUAAUUAACCCUGUUUAGAUUAAUCUAAUUUAAUUAAUUAGUUAAUUAAUUAGUUAACCCUAAUUACCCUAAUCAGUCUAUGACAUGUGGGACCCACAUGUCAGAUGACUGCUGACGUCAGCAUGAUGUCAUGCUGAUGUCAUCGCAACACUGUUUCGGAUAAUGUAUAUAUUAAAUAAUUAAAUAAAUUCCAGAAAUUAAUAAAUUCUUUUAAAAUCAAUAUAAAAUAAACCGUUGCUCAGAUGAAAAUACUUUGUACAUGAAAGUUGCUCAGAACGACGAGACGAAUCCGGAUACGCAGCCCAUUCGUCCACCACACAUCCCUAGCAUAGCAAACAGGCAACUUUCCCCCUCCGGUUCGUCUGUCCGAAAAUGCGGAACACCGGGGAUACUUUCCCGGAUGUUUCCCCCCUUCGCCGGUAUCACUUACCACUACGUUAGGUCACCCCUAGCACCGCAUAUUGCCGUGUCUUGCUUUGUGUUACAUUUGAUUGCUCUGUUAUUUAUUGUGUUCCCCCUCCGUCACUUCUUUUCGGUAGACUCUGAGACCGGUGCCGAUGUCCGUGAGUUCGACUACACCGAAGAUGACCCCUCCUUCUUGCCAGAGCAACCAGGCAAGCCCCCCCCUUGAUCACCAGAUAUCGCCUAUUCUUCUCUAUACUGCUUGCAUUAGAGUAGUGUAGCAUGUUACUGCUUUCCGUUAAUCCUAUCCUGAUGCAUAGCCUGUCAUUGUUGCUACAGUUGUUACCCUUACCUGCUGUCCUACUGCUUAGUAUAGGAUGCUAGUGUUCCAUCAGUGGCCCUACACUAUUGUCCGUCUGGCAUGCUAUACUACUGGGCCGUGAUCACUUCGGGAGGUGAUCACGGGUAUAUGCUAUAUACUUUAUAUACAUGACACAUUUGGUGACUAAAGUCGGGUCGGCUCGUUGAGUACCCGCAGGUGAUUCUGAUGAGGGGGCUGAAAGGACUGGUGGCUCCAUCCUGGUAGAGGUGGGCCUGGGUUCCUGACGGCCCCCGACUGUUACUUUAUGGCGGAGCGACAGGGCAGGUUGAGACCACUAGGAGAGAGGUGGGCCUGGCCCUGGUCGGCGUUCGAGAUCUUGGUAUUUGAUCUGAGUCUGGCCAUUUGGUCUAUACAGACUAACCAACUAAGCGGGAACAGUUAUGGGCACUCGACGUCGUGGUAUCAGCCGAAGCUCUUCUUGACGUCAGCGACGGAGCGGCGCGCGCCGGAUUGGACUGGAACGCCUGCUAGGCUAGGUCUGCUUCCGGCCGCGUACGCAACGUGCAGGUGUGCAAUGGGCGAUGGGCCCAGACCCCUGCGCGCAUAGGAUUUAGACCGGCGUGCUGACCUCUCUGUUGAGCCUAGGUGGGGCUGCGACGUGUUGAUCUUCCGAGGCCGGGCAUGACCCAGAAAAGUGUGCCCGGCCAAAUGGGAUCGAGCGUGUUGGGUUAUGUGGUGCACCCCUGCAGGGAAGUUUAUCUAUUCGAAUAGUCGUGUCCCUCGGUAAAAGGACGACCCGGAGUUGUACCUUGACCUUAUGACAACUAGAACUGGAUACUUAAUAAAACACACCCUUCCAAGUGCCAGAUACAACCCGGUGAUCGCUCUCUAACAGGGCGACGAGGAGGGGAUCGCCUGGUAGGAUUUAUGCUAUGUGAUGCUACUUGGAGGACUUCAAUCUACUCUCUUCUACAUGCUGCAAGAUGGAGGCUGCCAGAAGCGUAGUCUUCGACAGGAUUAACUAUCCCCCUCUUAUUCUGGCAUUCUGCAGUUCAGUCCACCGAUAUGGCCUUUUACACAUAUACCCAUGCAUAUGUAGUGUAGAUCCUUGCUUGCGAGUACUUUGGAUGAGUACUCACGGUUGCUUUUCUCCCUCUUUUUCCCUCUCUAUACCUGGUUGUCGCAACCAGAUGCUGGAGUCCAGGAGCUAGAGAUCCCGAGGAUGAUUCUACAUGGAGUUCGGCUUCAAGGAGUAGUUAGGAGGUCCCAGGUAGGAGGCCUUGCCUUUUCGAUCGUUGCUACUUUUGUGCUAGCCUUCUUAAGGCAAACUUGUUUAACUUAUGUUUGUACUCAGAUAUUGUUGCUUCCGUUGACUCGUCUAUGAUCGAGCACUUGUAUUCGAGCCCUCGAGGCCCCUGGCUUGUAUUAUGAUGCUUGUAUGACUUAAUUAUGUUGUAGAGUUGUGUUGUGAUAUCUUCCCGUGAGUCCCUGAUCUUGAUCGUACACAUUUGCGUGCAUGAUUAGUGUACGGUCAAAUCGGAGGCGUCACAUACAUCAACACCAUAGCCUCUUCGAUGAUGUGUGAGUAGUUUACCUCAGACCUUCGGGUCCAUAGUUAUUAGAUAGAUGGCUUCUUCUCUCUCUUUGGAUCUCAAUACAAAGUUCUCCUCCUCUUGGAGAUCUAUUCGAUGUAAUCUUCUUUUGUGGUGUGUUUGUCGAGACCGAUGAAUUGUGGGUUUAUGAUCAAGUUUAUCUAUGAACAAUAUUUGAAUCUCCUCUGAAUUCUUUUAUGUAUGAUUGGUUAUCAUUGCAAGUCUCUUCGAAUUAUCAGUUUGGUUUGGCCUACUAGAUUGAUCUUUCUUGCAAUGGGAGAAGUGUUUAGCUUUGGGUUCAAUCUUGCGGUGCUCGAUCCCAGUGAUAGAAAGGGAAACGACACGUAUUGUAUUGUUGCCAUCGAGGAUAACAAGAUGGGGUUUAUAUCAUAUUGCAUGAGUUUAUCCCUCUACAUCAUGUCAUCUUGCUUAAAGCGUUACUCCGUUCUUAUGAACUUAAUACUCUAGAAGCAUGCUGGAUAGCGGUCGAUGUGUGGAGUAAUAGUAGUAGAUGCAGAAUCGUUUCGGUCUACUUGUCGCGGACGUGAUGCCUAUAUACAUGAUCAUGCCUAGAUAUUCUCAUAACUAUGCUCAAUUCUAUCAAUUGCUCGAGAGUAAUUUGUUCACCCACCGUAAUACUGAUGCUCUUGAGAGAAGCCACUAGUGAAACCUAUGGCCCCCGGGUCUAUUUUCCAUCAUAUUAAUCUUCCAACUUAGCUAUUUCUAUUGCCGUUUAUUUUACUUUGCAUCUUUAUCAUAAAAAUACCAAAAAUAUUAUCUUAUCAUAUCUAUCAGAUCUUACUCUCGUAAGUGACCGUGAAGGGAUUGACAACCCCUUUAUUGCGUUGGUUGCGAGGUUCUUAUUUGUUUGUGUAGGUGCGUGGGACUCGAGCGUGGUCUCCUACUGGAUUGAUACCUUGGUUCUCAAAAACUGAGGGAAAUACUUACGCUACUUUACUGCAUCACCCUUUCCUCUUCAAGGGAAAACCAACGCAGUGCUCAAGAGGUAGCAAGAAGGAUUUCUGGCGCCGUUGCCGGGGAGAUUCGCGCCAAGUCAAGUCAAGUCAAGACAUACGAAGUAUCCAUCACAAACUCUUAUCCCUCGCAUUACAUUAUUUGCCAUUUGCCUCUCGUUUUCCUCUCCCCACUUCACCCUUGCCGUUUUUUCGCCCUCUCUUUUCCGUUCGCCUCUUUUUUGCUUGCUUCUUGUUUGCUCGUGUAUUGGAUUGCUUGCUUGUCAUGAUGGCUCAAGAUAAUACUAAAUUGUGUGACUUUACCUAUACCAACAACAAUGAUUUUCUUAGCACUUCGAUUGCUCCUCUUACCGAUGCUGAAUCUUGCGAAAUUAAUGCUGCUUUGUUGAAUCUUGUCAUGAAAGAUCAAUUCGCCGGCCUUCCAAGUGAAGAUGCCGCUACCCAUCUAAAUAGCUUCGUUGAUUUGUGUGAUAUGCAAAAUAAGAAAGAUGUGGAUAAUGAUAUUGUUAAAUUGAAGCUAUUUCCUUUUUCGCUUAGAGAUCGCGCUAAAGUUUGGUUUUCAUCUUUGCCUAAAAAUAGUAUUGAUUCAUGGAAUAAGUGCAAAGAUGCUUUUAUCUCUAAGUAUUUUCCUCCCGCUAAAAUCAUCUCUCUUAGAAACGAUAUCAUGAAUUUUAAGCAACUUGAUCAUGAACAUGUUGCACAAGCUUGGGAGAGGAUGAAAUUAAUGAUACGUGAUUGCCCUACACAUGGUUUGAAACUUUGGAUGAUUAUACAAAAAAUUUAUGCCGGAUUGAAUUUUGCUUCUAGAAAUCUUUUAGAUUUGGCCGUGGGAGGCACUUUUACGGAAAUCACUUUAGGAGAAGCUACUAAACACCUAGAUAAUAUUAUGGUUAAUUAUUCUCAAUGGCACACCGAAAGAUCUACUAAUAAAAAAGUGCAUGCGAUAGAAGAAAUUAAUGUUUUGAGUGGAAAGAUGGAUGUACUUAUGAAAUUAUUUGCUACUAAAAGUGUUUCAUCUGAUCCUAAUGAUAUGACUUUGUCUACUUUGAUUGAGAAUAAUAAUGAAUCUAUGGAUGUGAAUUUGUUGGUAGGAAUAAUUUUGGUAACAACGCGUAUAGAGGAAACUUUAAUCCUAGGUCGUAUCCUAGUAAUUCCUCUAAUAAUUAUGGUAAUUCCUACAACAAUUCUUAUGGAAAUUUUAAUAAGAUGCCGUCUGAAUUUGAGAUUAGUGUUAAGGAUUUUAUGAAUUCACAAAAGAAUUUCAAUGCUUUGCUUGAAGAAAAAUUGCUUAAGGUUGAUGAAUUGGCUAGGAACGUUGAUAGAAUUCCUCUUGAUGUUGAUUCUUUGAAACUUAGAUCUAUUCCACCUAAGCAUGAUAUCAAUGAGUCUCUCAAAUCCAUGAGAAUUUCCAUUGAUGAGUGCAAAGAAAGAACCGCUAGGAUGCGUGCUAAGAAAGAUUGCUUUGUGAAAGCGUGUUCAUCUAGUCUCUAUGAAAAUAAAGAUGAAGAUCUAAAAGUUAUUGAUGUGUCUCCUAUUAAAUCUUUGUUUUGCAAUAUGAAUCUUAAUAAUGAUGGGACUGAAUAUGAGCCACCUUUACCUAGAAGGCGUCCCAAAAAUUCGGAGUCUUUAGAUCUUGAUGCGAAAUUCGGUAAAAGUGGGAUUGAAGAAGUCAAAACUUUAGAUAUCAAUGAACCCACUAUUUUGGAUCUCAAGGAAUUUAAUUAUGAUAAUUGAUCUUUGAUAGAUUGUAUUUCCUUGUUGCAAUCCAUGCUAAAUUCUCCUCAUGCUUGUAGCCAAAAUAAAGCUUUUACUAAACAUAUCGUUGAUGCUUUGAUGCAAUCUUAUGAAGAAAAAAUUGAGUUGGAAGUUUCUAUCCCUAGAAAACUUUAUGAUGAGUGGGAACCUACUAUUAAAAUUAAAAUUAAAUAUCAUGAAUGCUAUCCUUUGUGUGAUUUGGGUGCUAGUGUUUCCACGAUUCUAAAAACUUCAUGUGAUUUGUUAGGUUUCCGCGAAUUUGAUGAUUGUUCUUUAAACUUGCACCUUGCGGAUUCCACCAUUAAGAAACCUAUGGGAAGAAUUAAUGAUGUUCUUAUUGUUGCAAAUAGUAACUAUGUGACCGUAGAUUUCAUUGUUCUUGAUAUAGAUUGCAAUCCUUCAUGUCCUAUUAUUCUUGGUAGAUCUUUCCUUAGAACGAUUGGUGCAAUUAUUGAUAUGAAGGAAGGGAAUAUUAUAUUCCAAUUUCCGUUAAGGAAAGGCAUGGAACACUUCCCUAGAAAGAAGAUUAAAUUACCUUAUGAAUCCAUUAUGAGAGCCACUUAUGGAUUUCCUACCAAAGAUGGCAAUACCUAGAUCUAUCAUUGCUUUUAUGCCUAGCUAGGGGCGUUAAACGAUAGCGCUUGUUGGGAGGCAACCCAAUUUUAUUUUAGUUUUUUGCUUUUUGCUUCUGUUUAGGAAUAAAUAUUUGACCUAGCCUCUGGUUAGAUUUGUUUUUAUGUUUUAAUUAGUGUUUGUGCCAAGUUAAACCUAUAGGAUCUUCUUGGAUGAUAGUUAUUUGAUCUUGCUGAAAAUUCCAGAAACUUUCUGUUCACGAAAACAAUUGUUAAAAAUCACCAGAACGUGAUAAAAUACUGAUUCCAAUUGCAGUAGAUCAAUAAACAAAUUUUAUAGGUCGUCCUAUUUUGGUAGAUUUUUUGAGUUCCAGAAGUUUGCGUUAGUUACAGAUUACUACAGACUGUUCUGUUUUUGAAAGAUUCUGUUUUUCAUGUGUUGUUUGCUUAUUUUGAUGAAUCUAUGGCUAGUAAAAUAGUUUAUAAACCAUAUAGAAGUUGGAAUACAGUAGGUUUAAUACCAAUAUAAAUAAAGAAUGAGUUUGUUACAGUACCUUGAAGUGGUGUUUUGUUUUCUUUCGCUAACGGAGCUCACGAGAUUUUCUGCUAAGUUUUGUGUUGUGAAGUUUUCAAGUUUUGGGUAAAAGAUUUGAUGGAUUAUGGAACAAGGAGUGGCAAGAGCCUAAGCUUGGGGAUGCCCAUGGCACCCCAAGAUAAUCUAAGGACACCAAAAAGGCAAAGCUUGGGGAUGCCCCGGAAGGCAUCCCCUCUUUCGUCUUCGUCCAUCGGUAACUUUACUUGGAGCUAUAUUUUUAUUCACCACAUGAUAUGUGUUUUGCUUGGAGCGUCUUGUAUAAUUUGAGUCUUUGCUUUUUAGUUUACCACAAUCAUCCUUGCUGUACACACCUUUUGAGAGAGACACACAUGAUUCAGAAUUUAUUAGAAUACUCUAUGUGCUUCACUUAUAUCUUUUGAGCUAUAUAGUUUUGCUCUAGUGCUUCACUUAUAUCUUUUAGAGCACGGUGGUGGAUUUGUUUUAUAGAAACUAUUGUUCUCUCAUGCUUCACUUAUAUUAUUUUUAGAGUCCUACAAAACAGCAUGGUAAUUUGCUUUAAUUAUGAUAGGCAUCCAAGAUUAGUAAAAUAAAAUAAAAAUUCUUAUGAGUGCGUUGAAUACUAUGAGAAGUUUGACGCUUGAGAAUUGUUUUGAGAUAUAAAGAUGGUGAUAUUAGAGUCAUGUUAGUUGAGUAGUUGUGAAUUUGAGAAAUACUUGUGUUAAAGUUUGUGAUUCCCGUAGCAUGCACGUAUGGUGAACCGUUAUGUGAUGAAUUCGAAGCAUGAUUUAUUUAUUGAUUGUCUUCCUUAUGAGUGGCGGUCGGGGACGAGCGACGGUCUUUUCCUACCAAUCUACCCCCCUAGGAGCAUGCGUGUAAUACUUUGCUUUGAUAACUCGUAGAUUUUUGCAACAAGUAUAUGAGUUCUUUAUGACUAAUGUUGAGUCCAUGGAUUAUACGCACUCUCUUCCUUCCACCAUUGCUAGCCUCUCUAAUACCGCGCACUUUUCACUGGUAUCAUACACCAACCAUAUAACUUCCUCAAAACAGCCACCAUACCUACCUACCAUGGCAUUUCCAUAGCCAUUCCGAGAUAUAUUGCCAUGCAACUUACCACCGUUCCGUUUACUAUGACACGCUUCAUCAUUGUCAUAUUGCUUUGCAUGAUCAUGUAGUUGACAUUGUAUUUGUGGCAAAGCCACCAUUCAUAAUUCUUUCAUACAUGUCACUCUUGAUUCAUUGCAUAUCCCGGUACACCGCCGGAGGCAUCCACAUAGAGUCAUAUUUUGUUCUAAGUUUGAGUUGUAAUUCUUGAGUUGUAAAGAAAAUAAAAGUAUGAUGAUCAUCAUUAUUAGAGCACUGUCCCAAGUAAGGAAAGGAUGAUGCAGACUAUGAUUCCCCCAUAAGUCGGGAUGAGACUCCAGUCUAAAUAAAAAAAGAAAAAAAAGAGGCCAUAAAAAAGGCCCAAAUAAAAAAUGAGAGAAAAAGAGAGAAGGGACAAUGCUACUAUCAUUUUUCCACACUUGUGCUUCAAAGUAGCACCAUGAUCUUCAUGAUAGAGAGUCUCCUAUGAUAUCACUUUCAUAUACUAGUGGGAAAUUUUCAUUAUAGAACUUGGCUUGUAUAUUCCAAUGAUGGGCUUCCUCAAAAUGCCCUAGGUCUUCGUGAUCAAGCAAGUUGGAUGCACACCCACUUAGUUUCUUUUGUUGAGCUUUCAUAUACUUAUAGCUCUAGUGCAUCCAUUGCAUGGCAAUCCCUACUCACUCACAUUGAUAUCUAUUAAUGGGGAUCUCCAUAGCCCGUUGAUACGCCUAGUUGAUGUGAGACUAUCUUCUCCUUUUUUGUCUUCUCCACAACCACCAUUCUAUUCCACAUAUAGUGCUAUGUCCAUGGCUCACGCUCAUGUAUUGCGUGAAGAUUGAAAAGUUUGAGAACACCAAAAGUAUGAAACAAUUGCUUGGCUUGUCAUCGGGGUUAUGCAUGAUUAAAUACUUUGUGUGAUGAAGAUAGAGCAUAGCCAGACUAUAUGAUUUUGUAGGGAUAACUUUCUUUGGCCAUGUUAUUUGAGAAGACAUAAUUACUUAGUUAGUAUGCUUGAAUUAUUAUUAUUAUGUCAAUAUUAAACUUUUAUCUUGAAUCAUUCGAAUAUGAACAUUCAUACCACAAUUAAGAGAAUUACACUGAAAAUUAUGCCAAGUAGCAUUCCACAUCAAAAAUUCCGUUUUUAUCAUUUACCUACUCGAGGACGAGCAGGAAUUAAGCUUGGGGAUGCUUGAUACGUCUCCAACGUAUCUAUAAUUUUUUGUUGUUCCAUGCUAUAUUAUAUUCUGUUUUGGAUGUUUAAUGGGCUUUAUUAUACACUUUUAUAUUAUUUUUGGGACUAACCUAUUAACCGGAGGCCCAGCCCAAAUUGUUGUUUUUUGCCUAUUUCAGUGUUUCGCAGAAAAAGAAUAUCAAACGGAGUCCAAACGGAAUCAAACCUUCGGGAACGUGAUUUUUGGAACAAACGUGAUGCAUAGGACUUGGAGUCCACGUAAAGAAAUCAAUGAGGAGAGCAUGAGGCAGGGGGGGCGCGCCUACCCCCAGGCGCGCCCUCCACCCUCAUGGGGCCCACGUUGCUCCACCGACGUACUUCUUCCUCCUAUAUAUACCUACGUACCCCAAACCAUCAGGGGCAUCCACGAAAACCUAAUUCCACCGCCGCAACCUUCUGUACCCGUGAGAUCCCAUCUUGGGGCCUUUUCCGGCGCUCCGCCGGAGGGGGCAUUGAUCAUGGAGGGCUUCUACAUCAACACCAUAGCCUCUCCGAUGAUGUGUGAGUAGUUUACCUCAAACCUUCGGGUCCAUAGUUAUUAGCUAGAUGGCUUCUUCUCUCUCUUUGGAUCUCAAUACAAAGUUCUCCUCGAUUCUCUUGGAGAUCUAUUCGAUGUAAUCUUCUUUUGCGGUGUGUUUGUCGAGACCGAUGAAUUGUGGGUUUAUGAUCAAGUUUAUCUAUGAACAAUAUUUGAAUCUCCUCUGAAUUCUUUUAUGUAUGAUUGGUUAUCUUUGCAAGUCUCUUCGAAUUAUCAGUUUGGUUUGGCCUACUAGAUUGAUCUUUCUUGCAAUGGGAGAAGUGUUUAGCUUUGGGUUCAAUCUUGCGGUGCUCGAUCCCAGUGACAGAAAGGGAAACGACACAUAUUGUAUUGUUGCCAUCGAGGAUAACAAGAUGGGGUUUAUAUCAUAUUGCAUGAGUUUAUCCCUCUACAUCAUGUCAUCUUGCUUAAAGCGUUACUCGGUUCUUAUGAACUUAAUACUCUAGAAGCAUGCUAGAUAGCGGUUGAUGUGUGGAGUAAUAGCAGUAGAUGCAGAAUCGUUUCGGUCUACUUGUCGCGGACGUGAUGCCUAUAUACAUGAUCAUACCUAGAUAUUCUCAUAACUAUGCUCAAUUCUAUCAAUUGCUCGACAGUAAUUUGUUCACCCACCGUAAUACUUAUGCUCUUGAGAGAAGCCACUAGUGAAACCUAUGGCCCCCGGGUCUAUUUUCCAUCAUAUUAAUCUUCCAACACUUAGCUAUUUCUAUUGCCGUUUAUUUUACUUUGCAUCUUUAUCAUAAAAAUACCAAAAAUAUUAUCUUAGCAUAUCUAUCAGAUCUCACUCUCGUAAGUGACCGUGAUGGGACUGACAACCCCUUUAUUGCGUUGGUUGCGAGGUUCUUAUUUGUUUGUGUAGGUGCGUGGGAGUAAUAGUAGUAGAUGCAGAAUCGUUUCGGUCUACUUGUCGCGGACGUGAUGCCUAUAUACAUGAUCAUACCUAGAUAUUCUCAUAACUAUGCUCAAUUCUAUCAAUUGCUCGACAGUAAUUUGUUCACCCACCGUAAUACUUAUGCUCUUGAGAGAAGCCACUAGUGAAACCUAUGGCCCCCGGGUCUAUUUUCCAUCAUAUUAAUCUUCCAACACUUAGCUAUUUCUAUUGCCGUUUAUUUUACUUUGCAUCUUUAUCAUAAAAAUACCAAAAAUAUUAUCUUAGCAUAUCUACCAGAUCUCACUCUCGUAAGUGACCGUGAUGGGACUGACAACCCCUUUAUUGCGUUGGUUGUGAGGUUCUUAUUUGUUUGUGUAGGUGCGUGGGACUCGAGGGUGGUCUCCUACUGGAUUGAUACCUUGGUUCUCAAAAACUGAGGGAAAUACUUAUGCUACUUUACUGCAUCGCCCUUUCCUCUUCAAGGGAAAACCAACGCAGUGCUCAAGAGGUAGCACACAUCAUAAUAAGCCUUGCAAGCAAUGUGACUAAUGAGUUAGUUGCAGGAUGAUGCAUUACGGAACGAGUAAACAGACUUGCCGGUAAGGAGAUUGAACUAGGUAUGAAGAUACCAACGAUCAAAUCUCGGGCAAGUAACAUACUGAUGACAAAGGGAAUAACGUAUGUUGUCAUUACGGUACGACCGAUAAAGAUCUUUGUAGAAUAUGUGGGAACCAAUAUGAGCAUCCAGUUUCCGCUGUUGGUUAUUGACCGGAGAGGUGUCUCAAUCAUGUCUACAUAGUUCUCGAACCCGUAGGGUCCGCACGCUUAACGUUCGAUGAUGAUUUUGUAUUAUAUGAGUUAUGUGGUUUGGUGACCGAAUGCUGUUUGGAGUCCCGGGUGAGAUCACGUACAUGACGAGGAGUCUCGAAAUGGCUGAGAGGUAAAGAUUCAUAUAUAGGACGACAAUAUUCGGACACCGGAAGUGUUCCGGGGGUACCGGGUACGUAUCGGGUCACCGAAAGGGUUCCGGGCACCCCCACGGCAAAGAUAUGGGCCUUAUUGGGCCUAGGGCGGGACAGACCAGCCCCUUGUGGGCUGGUGCGCCCCCAUAUGGGCCGAUCUAAGUGGAGAAUGGAAAAGGGGAAGAGGAAAGGAAAUAGAGGGAAUAGGAUUCCCCCUUCCUUUCCCCUCUCCCCUCUUUCCUCCCCCCCUCCGGAGAUAAGGAAAGGGUGAGGCCGAAUUGGAGGAGGGGGGUGCCUAGAACACACACCAACAAUUGUUAGCCAUGUGCGGCGCCCCCUCCAUAGUUUACGCCUCCGGUCAUAUUCACGUAGUGCUUAGGCGAAGCCCUGCACGGAUUACUUCACCAUCACCGUCGCCACGCCAUCGUGCUGAUGGAACUCUCCCUCGACACUUUGCUGGAUCAAGAGUUCGAGGGAUGUCAUCGAGCUGAACGUGUGCAGAACUCGAAGGUGUCGUACGUUCGGUGCUUGAUCGGUCGGAACGAGAAGAAGUUCGACUAUAUCAACCGCGUAAACAAACACUUCCGCUUUAGGUCUACGAGGGUACGUGGACACACUCUCCCCCUCUCGUUGCUAUGCAUCUCCUAGAUAGAUCUUGCGUGAUCGUAGGAUUUUUUUUUGAAAUUGCAUGGUACGUUCCCCAACAGUGGCAUCUGAGCCAGGUCUAUCCGUAGAUGAUAUGCAUGAGUAGAACACAAAGAGUUGUGGGCGAUAAUAGUCAUACUGCUUACCACCAACGUCUUAUUUUGAUUCGACCGUAUUGUUGGAUGAAGCGGCCCAGACCAACCUUACAUGAACACAUUCAUGAGACCGGUUCCACCGACAGACAUGCAACUUGUUUUGCAUAAAGGUGGCUGGCGGGUGUCUGUUUCUCCAACUUUAGUUGAAUCGAAUUUGACUACGGCCGGUCCUUGUUGGAGGUUAAAACAGCACACUUGACGAAAAAUCGUUGUGGUUUUGAUGCGUAGGUAAGAACGGUUCUUACUAGAAGCCCGUAGCAGCCACGUAAAACUUGCAACAACAAAGUAGAGGACGUCUAACUUGUUUUUGCAGGACAUGUUGUGAUGUGAUAUGGUCAAGACAUGAUGUGAGAUAUGUUAUUGUGUGAGAUGAUCAUGUUUUGUAAAAGUUACCGUCAACUGGCACGAGCUUUAUGGUUGUCGCUUUAUUGUAUGAAAUGUAAUCUCCAUGUAAUUGCUUUACUUUAUCACUAUGUGUUAGCGAUAGUCAUAGAAGCAAUAGUUGUGAGACGACAACGACGCUACGAUGGAGAUCAAGGUGUCAAGCCGGUGAAAAUGGAGAUCAUGACGGUGCUUUGGAGAUGGAGAUCAAAGGCACAAGAUGAUGAUGGCCAUAUCAUGUCACAUAUUUUGAUAGCAUGUGAUGUUUAUCUUUUAUGUAUCUUAUUUUGCUUAGUACGACGGUAGCAUUAUAAGAUGAUCCCUCACUAAAUUUCUUGGUAUAAGUGUUCUCCCUGAGUAUAAGUUCAUCUCUUGUAUCCAAUUCUUGUCUCUAAGUCUGGGAUUGGUACCUGUAGGUUGCUAGUAGUGUUGAUUACUCCUUGUAGUUGAUGCUAGUUGGUUUAUUUGGUGGAAGAUCAUAUGUUCAGAUCCUAUAUGCAUAUUAAUACUCCUCUGAUUAUGAACAUGAAUAUGCUUUGUGAGUAGUUACGUUUGUUCCUGAGGACAUGGGAGAAGUCUUGCUAUUAGUAGUCAUGUGAAUUUGGUAUUCGUUUGAUAUUUUGAUGAGAUGUAUGUUGUCUCUCCUCUAGUGGUGUUAUGUGAACAUCGACUACAUGACACUUCACCAUUAUUUGGGCCUAGAGGAAGGCAUUGGGAAGUAAUAAGUAGAUGAUGGGUUGCUAGAGUGACAGAAGCUUAAACCCUAGUUUAUGCGUUGCUUCGUAAGGGGCUGAUUUGGAUCCAUAUGUUUCAUGCUAUGGUUAGGUUUACCUUAAUACUUCUUUUGUAGUUGCGGAUGCUUGCAAUAGGAGUUAAUCAUAAGUGGGAUGCUUGUCCAAGUAAGGACAGCACCCAAGCACCGGUCCACCCACAUAUCAAAUUAUCAAAGUACCGAACGCGAAUCAUAUGAACGUGAUGAAAACUGGCUUGACGAUAAUUCCCAUGUGUCCUCGGGAGCGCUUUUCUCUAUAUAAGAGUUUGUCCAGGCUUGUCCUUUGCUACAAAAAGGAUUGGGCCACCUUGCUGCACUUUAUUUACUUUUGUUACUUGUUGCUCGUUACAAAUUAUCUUAUCACAAAACUAUCUGUUACCUAUAAUUUCAGUGCUUGUAGAGAAUACCUUGCUGAAAACCGCUUAUCAUUUCCUUCUGCUCCUCGUUGGGUUCGACACUCUUACUUAUCGAAAGGACUACGAUAGAUCCCCUAUACUUGUGGGUCAUCACCUCUUCUCACCGGCAGGUUUGAAAUCAUAGUUGAGCUCUUUAAUAGCCCAAUAUGCCUUAUGUUCUAGUUCGAGAUGUAAGUGACAUGCUUUUCCAUAAACCAUUUUAUACGGAGACAUGCCCAUAGGAUUUUUAUAUGCAGUUCUAUAGGCCCAUAAUGCAUCAUCAAGUUUCUUGGACCAAUUCUUUCUAGAUCUAUUAACAGUCUUUUGCAAAAUUAAUUUGAGCUCUCUAUUACUCAAUUCUACUUGACCACUAGACUGUGGGUGAUAAGGAGAUGCAAUUCUAUGAUUAACAUCAUACUUAGCAAGCAUUUUAUGAAAAGCACCAUGAAUAAAAUGUGGACCACCAUCAGUCAUUGAAUAUCUAGGGACUCCAAACCUCGGAAAAAUAACUUCUUUAAGCAUCUUAAUAGAGGUGUUAUGAUCAGCACUACUAGUUGGAAUAGCUUCUACCCACUUAGUAACAUAAUCAUUAGCAACUAAAAUAUGAGUAUAUCCAUUAGAGGCAGGAAACGGUCCCAUAUAAUCAAAGCCCCAAACAUCGAAUGGUUCAAUAACAAGUGAAUAAUUCAUAGGCAUUUCCUGACGUCUACUAAUAUUACCAAUUCGUUGACAUUCAUCACAAGAUAAGACAAACUUACGGGCAUCUUUGAAGAGGGUAGGCCAAUAAAAACCGGAUUGCAAUACCUUAUGUGCAGUUCUAUCUCUAGCGUGGUGUCCUCCAUAAGCCUUGGAGUGACACUUGCAUAGGAUCUGUUCCUGUUCAUGCUCAGGUACACAACGCCUAAUAACACCAUCUACUCCUUCUUUAUAAAGAUGUGGGUCAUCCCAGAAGUAAUGUCUUAAAUCAUAGAAAAACUUUUUCUUUUGCUGGUAUGUGAAACUAGGUGGUAUAAAUUUAGCAACAAUGUUUAGCACAAUCAGCAUACCAUGGAGCAGUACGAGAAGCAUUUAUGACAUUUAAUUGUUCAUCAGGAAAGCUAUCAUCAAUAGGUAGUGGGUCAUCAAGAACAUUUUUUAACCUAGACAAGUUAUCUGCAACGGGGUUCUCAGCUCCCUUUCUAUCAAUAAUAUGUAAAUCAAAUUCUUGUAGCAAGAGAACCCAUCUAAUAAGUCUAGAUUUAGCAUCUUUCUUUUCCAUAAGAUAUUUAAUAGCAGCAUGAUCAGUGUGAAUAGUUACUCUAGAAUCAACAAUAUAAGGUCUGAACUUAUCACAAGCAAAUACAACUGCUAAGAAUUCUUUUUCAGUAGUCGCAUAAUUUCUCUGGGCAUUGUCUAGAGUUUUACUAGCAUAUUGGAUAACAUUUAAUUUCUUAUCAACUCUUUCCCUAGAACAACACCUACAGCAUAAUCGCUAGCAUCACACAUAAUUUCAAAGGGUAAAUUCCAGUCAGGUGGCUGAACGAUAGGUGCAGAAAUUAAUGCUUUCUUAAGUAUUUCAAAUGCUUCUACACAAUCAUCAUCAAAGACAAAAGGUAUAUCUUUUUGUAAGAGAUUAGUCAGAGGCCGAGAAAUUUUUGAGAAGUCCUUAAUGAACCUCCUAUAAAAACCGGCAUGACCAAGGAAACUUCUUAUACCUUUGAUGUCCUUAGGACACGACAUCUUUUCAAUAGCAUCAACUUUAGCUUUAUCAACUUCAAUACCUCUUUCAGAAAUUUUAUGCCCCAAAACAAUGCCUUCAUUAACCAUAAAGUGGCACUUCUCCCAAUUCAAGACAAGAUUAGUUUCUUCACAUCUCUGCAAAACUCGAUCAAGGUUGCUCAAGCAAUCAUCAAAAGAGGAUCCAUAAACGGAGAAAUCGUCCAUGAAAACCUCACAUAUCUUUUCCCAAAAGUCAGAGAAUAUAGCCAUCAUGCAUCUUUGAAAGGUAGCAGGUGCAUUACAUAAACCAAAAGGCAUACGCCUAUAAGCAAAAGUACCGAAAGGGCAAGUAAAAGUGUUCUUUGCUUGAUCAUCAGUUGACACAGGUAUUUGAGAGAAACUAGAGUAACCAUCUAGAAAGCAAAAAUGUGUAUGUUUGGAUAAUCUUUCUAGCAUUUGAUCAAUAAAAGGAAAGGGGUAAUGAUCUUUUUUAGUAGCCUUAUUUAAUUUGCGGAAAUCAAUUACCAUCCUAUAACCUGUAAUAAUUCUUUGCGGAAUCAAUUCAUCUUUAUCAUUAGGAACGACAGUAAUACCUCCCUUCUUAGGGACACAAUGGACAGGACUUACCCACUGACUAUCAGCAACGGGAUAAAUUAUACCUGCCUCAAGGAGCUUUAGUAUUUCCUUUCUUACCACUUCUUUCAUCUUAGGAUUCAGCCGUCGUUGAUGAUCAAUAACUGGUUUGGCAUCUUUCUCCAAGUUUAUUUUGUGUUGACAUAGAGUGGGACUAAUGCCCUUAAGAUCAUCAAGAGUAUAUCCAAUAGCAGCACGGUGCUUCUUCAGAGUUUUCAAUAAUUUCUCUUCUUCAUGCUCUGAAAGGUUAGCACUAAUAAUAACAGGAUAUAUCUUCUUUUCAUCAAGCAUAUUUAAGAGUAUCAGGUAAUGGUUUAAGCUCAAACACGGGAUCACCCUUGGGUGGAGGAGGAUCCCCUAGGAUUUCAACAGGCAAGUUGUGUUUCAGAAUAGGUCCCUGUUUAAAGAAUACUUCAUCUAUUUCCCUUCUUUCAUUCAUAAACAUAUCAUUUUCAUGGUCUAGCAAAUAUUGUUCUAAAGGAUCACUAAGAGGUACGGCAAUAGAAGCAAGACCAGUAAUUUCAUCUUUACUAGGCAAUUCCUCAUCAAGAGGUUGUCUACGAAAUUUAGAGAAUUAAACUCAUGAGACAUAUCAUCCAAACCAAUAGUAACAACAUCCUUUUUGUAGUCUAUCUUAGCAUUAACAGUAUUCAAGAAGGGUCUACCAAAUAUAAUGGGACAAAAGCUAUCUUGAGGGGAACCAAGAACAAGAAAAUCAGUAGGAUACUUAGCUUUCCCACACAAGACUUCAACAUCUCUAACAAUACCAAUUGGUGAAAUUGUAUCUCUAUUGGCAAGCUUAAUGGUGACAUCAAUUUCUUCUAACUCAGCAGGUGCAAUGUCAUGCAUAAUUUCUUUGUAUAAGGAAAUAGGUAUUGCACUAGCACUAGCACCCAUAUCACACAAGCCAUGAUAACAAUGAUCUCCUAUUUUAACAGAAAUAACAGGCAUGCCUACCACGGGUCUAUGUUUAUCUUUAGCACUAGGUUUAGCAAUUCUAGCAGUCUCAUCACAGAAGUAAAUAACAUGCCCAUCGAUAUUAUCAGCCAAGAGAUCUUUAACAAUAGAAAUAUUAGGUUCAACUUUAACAUGCUCAGGAGGUGUAUAAGUUCUAAUAUUGCUUUUAUGAACCACAGUUGAAGCUUUAGCAUGAUCCUUUAUCCUAACAGGGAAAGGUGGUUUCUCAACAUAAGAAGUAGGAACAAUAGGAUCAUUAUAAGUGAUAGUCUUUUCUUCAACUUUAAUAGGUGCAACUACUUUUACUUCAACGGGAGGAUUAUAUUUAAACCACUUCUCCUUAGGGACAUCAACAUGAGUAGCAAAGGAUUCACAUAAAGAAGCUACUAUCUCAGAGUCAAGUCCAUAUUUAGUGCUAAAUUCACGGAAAGCAUCGGUAUCCAUAAAAGAUUUAACACAAUCAAACUUAGGUGUUAUACCUGACUCCUUACCUUCGUCGAGGUCCCAAUCUUCAGAGUUGCAUUUAAUUCUUUCCAAUAAAUCCCAUUUGAAUUCAAUAGUCUUCAUCAUAAAAGAGCCAGCACAAGAAGUAUCGAGCAUGGAGCGAUUAUUGUGAGAAAGCCGAGCAUAAAUUUUUUGAAUAAUCAUUUCUCUUGAGAGCUCAUGAUUGGGGCAUGAAUAUAACAUUGACUUAAGCCUCCCCCAAGCUUGAGCGAUGCUUUCUCCUUCGCGAGGCCAAAAAUUAUAUAUAUAAUUACGAUCACGAUGAACAAGAUGCAUAGGAUAAAACUUCUAAUGAAAUUCCAAUUUCAAUCGCUUAUAGUCCCAUGAUCCCAUAUCAUCACAUAGCCUAUACCAUAUCAAUGCAUCUCCCUUCAAAGAUAAAGGGAAGACCUUCUUCUUGAUAACAUCAUCGGGCAUACCUGCAAGCUUAAAUAAUCCACAAACUUCAUCCACAUAGAUUAGGUGUAAAUCGGGAUGCAAUGUUCCAUCUCCUGCAAAAGGAUUAGCUAGCAGUUUCUCUAUCAUACCCGAAGGAAUUUAAAAGUAGACAUUUUCAUUUUCAGUAGGUUCAGUAGGUUGAGGAGCAACUAUAUGCUCUACCGGUCGGGGUGAAGAUACCCCGAACAAGCCCCUCAAAGGAUUACUUUCCAUAGUAACAAGUGACAGUAAAUUUCAGCACACUAUAUAAAUUUUUCCUUACCAAAUUCCACCUACCAAAGGCGCUUCACUCCCCGGCAAUGGCGCCAGAAAAGAGUCUUGAUGACCCACAAGUAUAGGGGAUCUAUCGUAGUCCUUUCGAUAAGUAAGAGUGUCGAACCCAACGAGGAGCAGAAGGAAAUGGUAAGCGGUUUUCAGCAAGGUAUUCUCUGCAAGCACUGAAAUUAUCGGUAACAGAUAGUUUUGUGAUAAAGUAAUUUGUAACGAGCAACAAGUAAAAAAAGUAAAUAAAGUGCAGCAAGAUGGCCCAAUCCUUUUUGUAGCAAAGGACAAGCCUGGACAAACUCUUAUAUAGAGAAAAGCGCUCCCGAGGACACAUGGGAAUUAUCGUCAAGCUAGUUUUCAUCACGUUCAUAUGAUUCACGUUCGGUACUUUGAUAACUUGAUAUGUGGGUGGACCGGUGCUUGGGUGCUGUACUUACUUGGACGAGCAUCCCACUUAUGAUUAACUCCUAUUGCAAGCAUCCGCAACUACAAAAGAAGUAUUAAGGUAAACCUAACCAUAGCAUGAAACAUAUGGAUCCAAAUCAGCCCCUUACGAAGCAACGCAUAAACUAGGGUUUAAGCUUCUGUCACUCUAGCAACCCAUCAUCUACUUAUUACUUCCCAAUGCCUUCCUCUAGGCCCAAAAAAUGGUGAAGUGUCAUGUAGUCGACGUUCACAUAACACCACUAGAGGAGAGACAACAUACAUCUCAUCAAAAUAUCGAACGAAUACCAAAUUCACAUGACUACUAAUAGCAAGACUUCUCCCAUGUCCUCAGGAACAAAUGUAACUACUCACAAAGCAUAUUCAUGUUCAUAAUCAGAGGAGUAUUAAUAUGCAUAAUGGAUCUGAACAUAUGAUCUGCCACCAAGUAAACCAACUAGCAUCAACUACAAGGAGUAAUCAACACUACUAGCAACCCACAGGUACCAAUCUCAGACUUAGAGACAAGAAUUGGAUACAAGAGAUGAACUAGGGUUUGAGAGGAGAUGGUGCUGGUGAAGAUUUUGAUGGCGAUUGGCCCCCUCCCGAUGAGAGGAGCGUUGGUGAUGACGAUGGCGAUGAUUUCCCCCUCCCGGAGGGAAGUGUCGCCGGCAGAACAGCUCCGCCAGAGCCCUAGAUUGGUUCCGCCAAGGUUCCGCCUCGUGGCGGCAGAGUCUCGUCCCGAAAGCUUUCUUAUGAUUUUUUCUCAGACGAAAGACUUCAUAUAGCAGAAGAUGGGCACCGGAGGGCCACCAGGGGGCCCAUGAGGCAGGGGCGCGCCCAGGGGGGUAGGGCACGCCCCCACCCUCGUGGCCAGGGUGUGGGCCCCCUCUGGUAUUUUCUUCGCUCAGUAUUUUUUUUUAUUUACAAAAAUAACUUCCGUGGAGUUUCAGGACUUUUGGAGUUGUGCAGAAUAGGUCUCCAAUAUUUGCUCCUUUUCCAGCCCGGAAUUCCAGCUGCCGGCAUUCUCCCUCUUUAUGCAAACCUUGUAAAAUAAGAGAGAAUAGGCAUAAGUAUUGUGACAUAAUGUGUAAUAACAACCCAUAAUGCAAUAAAUAUCGAUAUAAAAGCAUGAUGCAAAAUGGACGUAUCAAUGUCUAUCUAAGUGGGAGUUCUUAAGUAAUAUGAUUAAUUGAACUUGAAUUUAUCAUGAACUUAGUCCUGAUAGUUUUUGCAUAUCUAUGUUGUAGAUCAAUGGCCCGUGCUACCAUUCCCUUGAAUUUUGUUCCUAGAGAAAGCUAAGUUGAAAGAUGAUGGUAGCAACUACAUGGACUGGGUCCGUAACUUGAGGAUUAUUCUCAUUGUUGCACAACAGAAUUAUGUCCUUGAUGCACCGAUAGGUGUGAGGCCUGCUGCAGGAGGAACUCCGGACGUUAUGAACGUCUGGCAAACUAGAUCUGAUGACUACUAGAUAGUUCAGUGUGCCAUGCUCUACGGCUUAGAAUCGGGACUUCAAAGACGUUUUGAACGUCAUGGAGCAUAUGAGAUGUUCCAGGAGUUGAAGUUAAUAUUUCAAGCAAAUGCCCGAGUUGAGAGAUAUGAAGUCUCCAACAAGUUCUAUAGCUGCAAGAUGGAGGAGAAUAGUUCUGUCAGUGAACACAUACUCAGAAUGUCUGGGUACCAUAACCACUUGACUCAGCUGGGAGUUAAUCUUCCUGAUGAUAGUGUCAUUGACAGAGUUCUUCAAUCACUGCCACCAAGCUAUAAAGGCUUCGUGAUGAACUAUAAUAUGCAAGGGAUGAACAAGACGAUUCCCGAGCUCUUCGCAAUGCUUAAGGCUGCGGAGGUAGAAAUCAAGAAGGAGCAUCAAGUGUUGAUGGUUAACAAGACCACUAGUUUCCAGAAAAAGGGCAAAGGGAAGAAGGGGAACUUCAACAAGAAUAGCAAACAAGUUGCUGCUCCUGGGAAGAAGCCCAAGUCUGGACCUAAGCCUGAAACUGAGUGCUUCUACUGCAAAGGGACUGGUCACUGGAAGCGGAACUGCCCCAAGUAUUUGGCGGAUAAGAAGGAUGGCAAAGUGAACAAAGGUAUAUUUGAUAUACAUGUUAUUGAUGUGUACAUUACUAAUGCUCGUAGUAGCGCCUGGGUAUUUGAUACUGGUUCUGUUGCUCAUAUUUGCAACUCGAAACAGGGGCUAUGGAUUAAACGAAGAUUGGCUAAGGACGAGGUGACGAUGCGCGUCGGAAAUGGUUCCAAGGUCAAUGUGAUCGCCGUCGGCACGCUACCUCUACAUCUACCUUCGGGAUUAGUUUUAGACCUGAAUAAUUGUUAUUUGGUGCGAGCGUUGAGCAUGAACAUUAUAUCUGGAUCUUGUUUGAUGCGAGACGGUUAUUCAUUUAAAUCAGAGAAUAAUGGUUGUUCUAUUUAUAUGAGUAAUAUCUUUGAUGGUCAUGCACCCUUGAUGAGUGGUCUAUUUUUGUUGAAUCUCGAUCGUAGUGAUACACAUAUUCAUAAUAUUGAUGCCAAAAGAAGCAAAGUUAGUAAUGAUAGUGCAACUUAUUUGUGGCACUACCGUUUAGGUCAUAUUGGUGUAAAGCGCAUGAAGAAACUCCAUGCAGAUGGACUUUUGGAAUCACUUGAUGCUUGCAAACCAUGCCUCAUGGGCAAGAUGACUAAGACUCCGUUCUUCGGAACAAUGGAGCGAGCCACUGACUUAUUGGAAAUAAUACAUACCGAUGCAUGUUGUCAGAUGAGUGUUGAGGCUCGCGGCGGGUAUCGUUAUUUUCUGACCUUCACAGAUGAUUUGAGCAGAUAUGGGUAUAUCUACUUAAUGAAACAUAAGUCUGAAACAUUUGAAAAGUUCAAAGAAUUUCAGAGUGAAGUGGAAAAUCAUCGUAAAAAGAAAAUAAAGUUUCUACGAUCUGAUCGUGGAGGCGAAUAUUUGAGUUACGAGUUUGGUCUUCAUUUGAAACAAUGUGGAAUAGUUUCGCAACUCACGUCACCUGGAACACCACAUCAUAAUGGUGUGUCUGAACGUCGUAACCGUACUUUAUUAGAUAUGGUGCGAUCUAUGAUGUCUCUUACCGAUUUACCACUAUCGUUUUGGGGUUAUGCAUUAGAGACAACUGCAUUCACGUUAAAUAGGGCACCAUCUAAAUCCGUUGAGACGACACCAUAUGAACUAUGCUUUGGCAAGAAACCUAAGCUGUCGUUUCUCAAAGUUUGGGGUUGCGAUACUUAUGUGAAAAAGCUUCGGCCUGAUAAGCUCGAACCCAAAUCGGAGAAAUGCAUCUUCGUAGGAUACCCAAAAUAAACUGUUGGGUACACCUUCUAUCACAGAUUCGAAGGCAAGAUAUUUGUUGCUAAGAAUGGAUCCUUUCUGGAGAAAGAGUUUCUCUCAAAAGAAGUGAAUGGGAGGAAAGUAGAACUUGAUGAGGUAAUUGUACCUUCUCUCGAAUUGGAAAGUAGUUCAUCACAUAAAUCAGUUCCAGUGAUGCCUACACCAAUUAGUGAGGAAGUUAAUGAUGAUGAUCAUGAAACUUCAGAUCAAGUUACUACCGAACCUCGUAGGUCAACCAGAGUACGUUCCGCACCAGAGUGGUACGGUAAUCCUAUUCUGGAAGUCAUGUUGCUAGACCAUGAUGAACCUACGAACUAUGAGGAAGCAAUGAUGAGCCCAGAUUCUGCGAAAUGGCUUGAGGCCAUGAAAUCUGAGAUGGGAUCCAUGUAUGAGAACAAAGUGUGGACAUUGGUUGACUUGCCCGAUGAUCGGCAAGCCAUAGAGAAUAAAUGGAUCUUCAAGAAGAAGACUGACGUUGAUGGUAAUGUUACUGUCCAUAAAGCUUGACUUGCUGCAAAAGGUUUUCGACAAGUUCAAGGAGUUGACUACGAUGAGACUUUCUCACCUGUAGCGAUGCUUAAGUCUGUCCGAAUCAUGUUAGCAAUUUCGCAUUUUAUGAUUAUGAAAUUUGGCAAAUGGAUGUCAAAACUGCAUUCCUUAAUGGAUUUCUUAAGGAAGAGUUGUAUAUGAUGCAACCAGAAGGUUUUAUCGAUCCAAAAGGUGCAAACAAAGUGUGCAAGCUCCAUCGAUCCAUUUAUGGACUGGUGCAAGCAUGUCGGAGUUGGAAUACAUGCUUUGAUAGUGUGAUCAAAAUAUGGUUUUAUACAAACUUUUGGAGAAACCUGUAUUUACAAGAAAGUGAGUGGGAGCUUUGUAGCAUUUCUAAUAUUAUAAUGUGGAUGACAUAUUAUUGAUUGGAAAUAAUACAGAAUUUCUGGAUAGCAUAAAAGGAUGCUUGAAUAAGAAUUUUUCAAUGAAAGACCUCGUUGAAGCUGAUUAUAUGUUGGGCACCAAGAUCUAUAGAGAUAGAUCAAGACGCUUAAUUGGACUUUCACAAAGCACAUACCUUGAUAAAGUUUUAAAGAAGUUCAAAAUGGAUCAGUCAAAGAAAGGGUUCUUGCCUGUGUUACAAGGUGUGAAGUUGAGUCAGACUCAAUGCCCGACCACUGCAGAAGAUAGAGAGAAAAUGAAAGUCAUUACCUAUGCUUCAGCCAUAGGUUCUAUCAUGCAUGCAAUGAUGUGUACCAGACCUGAUGUGUGCCUUGCUAUAAGUUUAGCAGGGAGGUACCAAAGUAAUCUAGGAGUGGAUCACUGGACAGCGGUCAAGAACAUCCUGAAAUACCUGAAAAGGACUAAGGAUAUGUUUCUCGUUUAUGGAGGUGACAAAGAGCUUGUCGUAAAUGGUUACGUCGAUGCUAUCUUUGACACUGGUCCAGAUGACUCUGAGUCUCAAUCUGGAUACAUAUUGAAAGUGGGAGCAAUUAGCUAGAGCAUUGUAGACAUAGAAAUUGUCAAAAUACAUACGGAUUUGAAUGUGGCAGACCCGCUGACUAAACCACUCUCACAAGCAAAAUAUGAUCACACCUUAGUACUCUUUGGGUGUUAAUCACAUGGCGAUGUGAACUAGAUUACUGACUCUAGUAAACCCUUUGGGUGUUGCUCACAUGGCGAUGUGAACUAUGGGUGUUAAUCACAUGGUGAUGUGAACUAUUGGUGUUAAAUCACAUGGCGAUGUGAUCUAGAUUAUUGACUAUAGUGCAAGUGGGAGACUGAAGGAAAUAUGCCCAAGAGGCAAUAAUAAAGUUGUUGUUUUAUAUUUCCUUAUAUCAUGAUAAAUGAUUAUUCAUGCUAGAAUUGUAUUAACCGGAAACUUGAUACAUGUGUAGAUACAUAAACAAAACAUAGUGUCCCUAGUAAGCCUCUACUAGACUAGCUCGUUAAUCAAAGAUGGUUAAGUUUCCUAACCAUAGGCAUAUGUUAACAUAUGAUGAAUGGGAUCACAUCAUUAGGAGAAUGAUGUGAUGGACAAGACCCAUCCGUUAGCUUAGCAUAAUGAUCGUUCAGUUUUAUUGCUAUAGCUUUCUUCAUGUCAUAUACAUAUUCCUUUGGCUAUGAGAUUAUGCAACUCCCGGAUACUGGAGGAAUGCCUUGUGUGCGAUCAAACGUUACAACGUGACUGGGUGAUUAUAAAGAUGCUCUACAGGUAUCUCCGAAGGUGUUUGUUGGGUUGGCAUAGAUCGAGAUUAGGAUUUGUCACUCCGAGUACCGGAGAGGUAUCUCUGGGCCCUCUCGGUAAUGCACAUCAUAAUAAGACUUGCAAGCAAUGUGACUAAUGAGUUAGUUGCGGGAUGAUGCAUUACAGAAUGAGUAAAGAAACUUGCCGGUAACAAGAUUGAACUAGGUAUGAAGAUACCGAUGAUCAAAUCUCGGGCAAGUAACAUACCGAUGACAAAGGGAAUAAUGUAUGUUGUCAUUACAGUAUGACCAAUAAAGAUCUUCGUAGAAUAUGUGGGAACCAAUAUGAGCACCCAGGUUCUGCUGUUGGCUAUUGACCGGAGAGGUGUCUCGGUCAUGUCUACAUAGUUCUCGAACCCGUAGGGUCCGCACGCUUAACGUUUGAUGACGAUUUUGUAUUAUAUGAGUUAUGUGAUUUUUUGACCGAAUGCUGUUCGGAGUCCCGGAUGAGAUCACGGACAUGACGAGGAGUCUCGAAAUGGUCGAGAGGUAAAGAUUCAUAUAUAGGACGAUAGUAUUCAGACAUCGGAAGUGUUCCGGGGGUACCGGGUACGUAUCGGGUCACCGGAAGGGUUCCGGGCACCCCCCAGCAAAGAUAUGGGCCUUAUUGGGCCUAGGGCGGGACAGACCAGCCCCUUGUGGGCUGGUGCGCCCCCAUAUGGACCGAUCUAAGUGGAGAAAGGAAAAGGGGAAGAGGAAAGGAAAUAGAGGGAACAGGAUUCCCCCUUCCUUUCCCCUCUCCCCUCUUUCCUUCCCCCCUCCGGAGAUAAGGAAAGGGGGAGGCCGAAAUUGGAGGAGGCCCCAAGUAGGAUUCCUCCUACUUGGGGCGCCCCAAGGCUGCUCCCCUCCCUCUCCCACCUAUAUAUACAUGGGGAGGGGCGCCUAGAACACACACCAACAAUUGUUAGCCAUGUACGGCGCCCCCCUCCACAGUUUACGCCUCCGGUCAUAUUCACGUAGUGCAUAGGCGAAGCCCUGCGCGGAUUACUUCACCAUCACCGUCACCACGCCGUCGUGCUGAUGGAACUCUCCCUCGACACUUUGUUGGAUCAAGAGUUCGAGGGACGUCAUCGAGCUGAACGUGUGCAGAACUCGGAGGUGCCGUACGAUCAGUGCUUGAUCGAUCGGAACGAGAAAAAGUUCGACUACAUCAACCGCGUAAACAAACACUUCCGCUUUCGGUCCACGAGGGUACGUGGACACACUCUCCCCCUCUCAUUGCUAUGCAUCUCCUAUAUAGAUCUUGCGUGAUCAUAGGAUUUUUUUUGAAAUUGCAUGCUACGUUCCCCAACACGGCCUCCCCGGGCUGCUGAUGUCUACUACGCAACUUUAUUCUUGUAGACACAUGUUGGGCCUCCAAGUGUAGAGUUCUGUAGGACAGUAGCAAUUUUUACUCAAGUGGAUGACCUAAGGUUUAUCAAUCCGUAGGAGGCGUAAGAUGAAGAUAUAUAGUCUCUCUCAAACGAUCCUGCAACCAAAUACAAGAUAUCUCUUGUGUCCCCAACACACCCAAUACAAUGGUAAUUUGUAUAGGUGCACUAGUUCGGCGAAGAGAUGGUGAUAAAAAUGUAAUAUUGAUGGUAGAAAUAUAUUUUUAUAAUCUGAAUAAAUAAAAACAGCAAGGUAGCAAUUGAUAAAAGUGAGCACACACGAUAUUGUAGUACUUAAAAAAUGAGGCCUAGGGUCCGUAAUUUCACUAGUGCAAUCUCCCAACAAUGCUAAUAUAAUUGGAUCAUAUAACCAUCCCUCAACGUGCGAUGAAGAAUCACUCCAAAGUUCCUAUCUAGCGAAGAACAUAAGAAUAAAUUGUUUGUAGGGUACGAAACCAUCUCAAAGCUAUUCUUUCCGAUCAAUCUAUCCUAGAGUUCGUACUAAAAUAACAACAAGCUAUUCUUUUUGAUCGAUCUAACCAAGAGUUCGUACUAAAAUAACACUAAAGCAAAUUCAGAUUCAUAAUACUCAAUCCGACACAAAGAACUUCAAAGAGUGCCCCAAGAUUUCUACCGGAGAAACAAAGACAAGAACAUGCAUCAACCCCUAUGCAUAGAUUACCCCAAUGUCACCUCGGGAAUCAGCGAGUUGAGUGCCAAAACAUAUAUCAAGUGAAUCAAUACGAUACCCCAUUGUCACCACGAGUAUUCAAUUGCAAGACAUAUAUCAAGUGUUCUCAAAUCCAUAAAAGUAUUCAAUCCGAUAACAACGAAAUCUCAAAGGAAAAAACUCAAUUCAUCACAACAAGAUAGAGAGGGGAAAACACCAUAUGAUUCAACUAUAUUAACAAAGCCCGCGAUACAUCAAGAUCGUAACAUCUCAAGAACACAAGAGAGAGAGAGAUUAAACACAUAGCUACUGGUACAAACCUCAGCCCCGAUGGUGGACUACUCCCUCCUCAUCAUGGCGGCCGCCGGGAUGAUGAAGAUGGCCACCGAUGAUGAUUUUCCCCCUCCGGCAGGGUGCUGGAAAGGGUCUAGAUUCGUUUUUGGUGGCUACAGAGCCUUGCGGCGGCGGAACUUGAUGUAUGGCGGAUUUAUAGGAACCACCGCACUGUUAAGUGGGGUCCAAGUGAACAAAGUCGGAGUGACUGAAGUGAUGCUCAACCAAAUCCUAAGUCUUCGAGCAAAGACAAUGAGAGCAAAUCUUAAGCUGGAUGAGUCAGCUUUAUUUGUAGCCCAAGUCAAGCUGCUGCGUGUGUUUGAAAUCCGACCGUUGGACACGUGUCAGUUCCUUAGUGACCCAGGGUCAUUUUGGACAAAUCAGGUCGGGUUGUCUCCUGGCUAUAAAUAGCCCACCCCUACACCAUAAAUUGGUGGCUACUCAGAGUUAGUGCACGGCUUUUGUCGUCUGAGAGCAACCCACCUCCGAAGCAUUUGAGAGAGCGAUCCUUGCGAGAACAAAGCCCAAAACACCCAGAGCCAAAGAGUGUUAGGCAUCACUAAAGUCUUUCUGUCUGAGUGAUCUGAAACUUGUUAGACUUGAGGACUGUGAAUCCUCCAGUCGGUUAGGCGUCGCGUUCUGAGCAUCCAAGAGUCAUUUUGGAUUGCCGGUGAAUGAAGUCUGUGAAGGUUUGGAAGUCUACCUUGAAGACUUACCAGAGUGAUUGGGCGAGGACUAUGUGUUCUUAGCUCAAGGGGAAUAAGGCGAAGACGCGGUCUUCUGAGUUGAAUCUUAGCCUCCCUAAUCAGACGUACAGUUGUCACAGCAACUGGGACUGGUCCAACAAAUCCCUGUCCUCACCAAGCAACUGGUUCUAUCUCUUACCUCCCUUUACUUACAGUCUGUCUUCGAGAAGUCAUUGCCUGCUUGCAUGAUCUGAUUGUCUUCACUGUGCAAAGACUGCUGUUGAUUGGCUUCAUACUAUCUUCCAUCCUGAUCCAUACUACCUAGCUGCUGAUAGUCUUUGUGCUUUCACUUCAUUGCUUACUUGAUUAUGGCUUGUCUAGUGUAGUCUACCUUCCGCUGCAUAUCAAUAGGUUUAUCUCUUCUGUUUGUCUUCAAAGCCCCUGUGUUUUGAAGACUUUCAUAAAAAUUGCCUAUUCACCCCCCUCUAGUCGAUAACUAGCACUUUCACUUUGCAUUGGGUCAUUACAUGUGACCAAGUUACCAGGAAAAAUAAUAAACUUUUAAUGCGGUAAUUCUUUUAAAAAAGUGUUCUCAGAAAUGAGUUAUCAUGUGUGAAGAUUCAUGGCUUUCAAGCCAAAUGAUCAAUCUUAUGGCCACAUUCAUGGCAUAGUUUUUUUAAAAUGAUCUUAUAUUGCUCAUAAGGGUCCAUCUUGGAAUGGCAAACAAUGUUGCCUAAGGGAGUUUUCAUUUUCUUUGGAUGAAAAAUCAUUUUUCCAUUUUUCGAGUGCCCAAAAUGAGUUUUUUUGUGAAGGACCUACCAUAUAUUUGUUGCAAAAUUCGACCAAAUAAAUUUUCUAAAAUACUAGGACAUAUUUAAUGCACAAUUGACCAAAUGGUUGGGUGUAAAAAGUUUGGAUCCACCUCUGGUAAAAAGAAAAAUUUCCGUCGAUUCAGUUGGAAGCGGGUCAAAUUUGAACUGCGGCUGCCUCAUAGUUUGCUCUUUAUUUUUUUUCAAAAAUCAUUUAUAGGUACAUAAGUAUCUAUUUAAUCUUGGAUUUUUUUUGUGUUUCUCUGAUUAAAUAGAUACUUAUGUGUGAAUUGGAAAACCUUUGCAUUGUGUCAUUACAUGUGACCAAGUUACCGGGAAAAAUAAUAAACUUGUAAUGCAACAAUUUAAAAAUAAAGUGGGCACAACCCACUUGGGCGAGCCUGGGCUCCCAGGCGCGCCCUGGUGGGUUGUGCCCCCCUCGGGGCACCCCCCCCAGGUGCUGCUCUGGCCCAUCCUGGGUGUCCUGGUCCAUAAAAAAUCUCCAAAAAGUUUCACAGUGUUUGAACUUCGUUUGAUAUUGAUUUCUUGCGAUGUAAAAAACAAGCAAAAAACAGCAACUGGCACUGGACACUGGGUCAAUAAGUUAGUCCCAAAAAACGAUAUAAAGUUGCUAUAAAAUGAUUGUAAAACAUCCAAGAAUGAUAAUAUAUCAGCAUGAAUACUUCAUAAAUUAUAGAUACAUUGGAGACGUAUCAGCUGCCUCCCGAGGAGCGGAGAUUUCUAUGUAGGUGCCCACCUCGUGAGGUUGAGGUGACGCAAGCCAUGACGACCAAGGCCAGGUGGGCGCAGAGGAGCAGGUUUCCUCUUUGGUGCUAAGGAGGCAAGCGCAGGCGCGGGGUCCCGAGGAAUCAGCGAAAGGUUUCCAUUCCCGUGCAACAAGACCAAGACCGCCAGAACGGCAGGACGGAUGUCAUCACCGAGCCCACCGCAGCGUCACGAGUAGAAGCUUUGCAGGCGAAGACCACCUUUCAUUAGGAUAAGAUGUUACUUGUCCCCUUUCAAAAUUGGCCAUUGUGGGAUCCCUUCCCGCCUACAUUUUGGGGGAAGAGGACCGAGGCCACUAUAAAUAUAGGUUAGCCACCACCAUAGGGGAAGGCCGAUCCCUUUCCACCCUCACCAGAGCAGACCUCGCGAGGUUGUUCAUCCCUUAUACUAGUUCAUCCUCAGCCCCUUGUGAGGCUAAUCCACCUGAAAGUAGGAGUAGGGUCUUACACCGCAAGGUGGCCCGUGUAACACCCCGAGAAUCAUGCUACAGUAAUCCCCUUUAAAUGAUGCCUUGUCAUCAUUGUUACUGUUGCUAAUCUCACUUUGAUUCUAUUCCCGUACAAAUCUCAAUUUCAAAUUAAAGUAAAAAUUCUAAAUUGCUCAAACAUGAAAACUAAAAUGCUCAUCAUGUGGCAAAUAUCCUUUUGGCAAUAUUGGUGGUGAACCAACAUUUUUGCAAAGUGUUUAAAUGCCCUAAACUAAUUAAAACAAUGGUUAAAACGUUGCUUAAAUGCCUUUUUGUUUUAUAAAAAUGCUAAGCUAAUUUAUUUAACUACCAAACUAAUUGUGGCAGUAGUCUAAAUUAUAAUAAUAAUUUAGGUUCAACCUUUGAGUUUUAUAAAACUGUUUUGCCUUUUGAAAUUAAAAGAAAACAAAGAAGUUUCAAAAAAGAAAAGAAAAGAAAAGCCCCCCACUGGGCAACCGGCCCAGCUGGCCACCAGGCCGACUAGGCCGGCCCACCCCACUCCCCUAUACACCCCCUCUGCCCAAACCCAAACCAAAACCUAGCACCCCCACUCCCCCCACUCAUUCGCCUGUCCCCUCCCCCUCCUCUCGUUCCCGAUCUGGAUCGGGAAGGGGAGCGAUCNNNNNNNNNNNNNNNNNNNNNNNNNNNNNNNNNNNNNNNNNNNNNNNNNNNNNNNNNNNNNNNNNNNNNNNNNNNNNNNNNNNNNNNNNNNNNNNNNNNNNNNNNNNNNNNNNNNNNNNNNNNNNNNNNNNNNNNNNNNNNNNNNNNNNNNNNNNNNNNNNNNNNNNNNNNNNNNNNNNNNNNNNNNNNNNNNNNNNNNNNNNNNNNNNNNNNNNNNNNNNNNNNNNNNNNNNNNNNNNNNNNNNNNNNNNNNNNNNNNNNNNNNNNNNNNNNNNNNNNNNNNNNNNNNNNNNNNNNNNNNCGAGGACCCGAAGCCGCCUAACGCUGCCCCGCCGUCCCCGCGUCCCCAUCCUCAUCCCCACCGGACUGCGCCCGCCUUCCCGCCGUCGCGACGCCGCCCCGUCGUCCUCGUCUCCUCCUCGCCGAACGCAACCCCGACUCCUCCCCAAGUCCGCUGCCAUUCCCCUACGGCCCCGCCGUGAGCACCUCCCUCCUCCUCCCUCGCCUCCUCUGUGCGCGCGCCCGACGUCACCGUGCGCCCCGGCUGCCCCGCCUGCAGUCGCCGCGGACCGCGGACGCCCACAGCCGUGUCGGCCAUGCCGUCGCCCUUGUCGGCUACCUCUGCACCGCCUCCACUCGCCGGCGGCUACAGCGCGUCCCUCCUCUGCAACCCCAUUGCCACUUCCCACCGCGACAUCCUGCCCCUCGCCGUGCUCCCCCGCACCCCGUAUUGCGACCAGCGCCGUCCGCGAGCGAGCCCCGCCGAGCCCGCUCGCUGGCCGCGUCCCUCGCCCAGCGCCAGCCUCGCCGCCCACCUCUGUCCCCGCUUCGCCGCACCACCGCGUCGUUGCUCGCCGUCCGCCCGNNNNNNNNNNNNNNNNNNNNNNNNNNNNNNNNNNNNNNNNNNNNNNNNNNNNNNNNNNNNNNNNNNNNNNNNNNNNNNNNNNNNNNNNNNNNNNNNNNNNNNNNNNNNNNNNNNNNNNNNNNNNNNNNNNNNNNNNNNNNNNNNNNNNNNNNNNNNNNNNNNNNNNNNNNNNNNNNNNNNNNNNNNNNNNNNNNNNNNNNNNNNNNNNNNNNNNNNNNNNNNNNNNNNNNNNNNNNNNNNNNNNNNNNNNNNNNNNNNNNNNNNNNNNNNNNNNNNNNNNNNNNNNNNNNNNNNNNNNNNNNNNNNNNNNNNNNNNNNNNNNNNNNNNNNNNNNNNNNNNNNNNNNNNNNNNNNNNNNNNNNNNNNNNNNNNNNNNNNNNNNNNNNNNNNNNNNNNNNNNNNNNNNNNNNNNNNNNNNNNNNNNNNNNNNNNNNNNNNNNNNCGCGCCCAGCGCCACUCCGCCGCGCCGCGCACUCCGGCGUCCGACGCCCAGUGCCCGCGCCCGCGCCCCCUGGGGCUCCGCCCCUGCCCGUUCGCCCGUAACCUCACAUCCGCCCCGCUUAGGCCCUCGGCCUAUCGCGGAUGGGGCCCACGCCCUUGUCUUAAGAAAAACGAAAAAAAGAAGUGUUAAUAAAAAUAAAAUAAAUACUAAAAUAAUUAAUUAAUUAAUUAGUGGUUCAGUUAAUUAACUUAAUUAAUUUUGCCUAAUUAACUAAUUAGCUAAUUAGUUAGUCAGAGGACUCUAUGACAGUGGGGCCCCACCCCUAGUUAGCUUAAUUUAAACCCCCUUUUAAAAUAGGUGACACUAACAGAUGGGCCCCAUUGACCCUGUUGACUAUUCAACUUUGACCCAGUCAACGCUGACUGUACUGCUGACUGGGCAUUGACCGGCCCCACACGACAGGGUUGACCAUGGUCAACUCAGCUGACUGAUGAUGUCAUGAUGACGUCAUGUUGGUGCAAUAAUCCUAUUUUAGUUUAAUAAUAAAUCUAGGAUAUUGCUUAAACUUCAUAAAUUCAUAUAAAAUAAUCUGUAACUCGGAUGAAAAAGUUUUAUACAUGAAAGUUGCUCAGAACGAUGAGACGAAUCCGAACACGCAGUCCGUUUACCUGUCAGAUGCCUCUAACUAUCUGAACAUGGAACAUUCCCCCUCCGGUCAUCUGUUUGACACAGGUCCGGAACCGGGAAUACAUUCCCGGUUGAAUUCCCCCUUCACCUAUAUCGUGUAGCCAUGCGUUAGGUCACACCCGACACAGCAUAUUGCCACGUUAUGCUUUGUGAUGCUAUGUUUGCUUUAUAUUUACUGUUUCUUCCCCCUCUUCUCUCCGGUAGACCCCGAGACCGAUGCUGCCCCUGUGAUCGAAUACGUCGACGACGACCCCUCCUUGCCAGAGCAACCAGGCAAGCCCCCCCUUUGAUCAUCCCAAUAUCGCCCAUUCCAUUCUCUCAUGCUUGCAUUAGAUUUUGCUACUGUUAUUGUUUGCUCCUAUUCUGAUGCAUAGCCUGCUUUUGUAACCUGCUUAUUGUUACCUACCUGCUUAUCCUAAACUGCUUAGUAUAGGUUGGUUAGUGAUCCAUCAGUGACUCCCACCUUGUCCUUGUUGCCCCUGCUUCAUCAUCGAAGACCCGAUCAAUGGGAUCAAAGACCAGGCCCCGGCACCGCACAUCACUUUCCCCUUAGUUGCUCGACACUACUGGGUUACUAUCGAGUGCCGAGGGUGAGACCUCUACAGCACUUCUGAUGUUAACCCUGUAGUGUAGCUAUUCGGUCGUGGUCAUCGAGGGUGAUUCCGCCUUAACCACUUCCGAUACGACUCUGUCGUGCAACCCCUCAAGUGUGAACCUCGGGGGUGAUUCCUCUUGCGUUCACCUUGAUGAUUACAUCGAGUGGAAUUCACCGGGGGUCGGCCCUGAGGGGUACCCGCGCGAGCUUAAUUGCGAGUGAUGUGGAGACGGGUUGACCUGGAGGGUGCCCGCGAGAUAAUUACGAGGCGUGGCCGGGCAUUCCUAGCCCUUGCCGCAAGUCCUCAAGACGGGGCAACGGGGUCACAUAUUUCGUGAGUCUUUGCUUGUUACCGUGCGUUCCUAAUCCACUACGAUUUGGAUAUUUGAUCCGAGGGGCCUCUGGCCUGAUAGCACUAACCAUCACGUGGGCAUAGUAUGGGCGUUCUGCGUCGUAUACAUCAGUCAAAGCUUAAUAGACGUCAGCGACUGAGCGGCGCGCGCCGGGUUGGACUGCGUAAGCACCUGCCUUAUUGAAGGAGGUAGCUAGGUCUGCUCACCGGCCGUGUUUGCAACGUGCAGGAGUUCCCGGGGAGAUGGCCCAUGACCCCUGGGGGCAUAGGUUUAGUCCGGCGUGCUGACCUCUCUAUUAAGCCUAGGUCGGGUUGCGGCGUAUUGUUUGGCCGAGGCCGGGCAUGACCCAGGAAAGUGUGUCCGGCCGGAGUUAAUCGAGCGUGGUGGGUAAGUUGGUGCACCCCUGCAGGGAAGAAAAGAUCUAUCAAUAGCCUGUCCUAUGGUAACGGACACUUGGAGUUGUAUCCCGAUCGAUACAACUAGAACUGGAUACUUGAGAUGAGACAUGGAUAUGAGAAAUGGAUAGUAUGGCUCUGGGAUUGCUUUCUUGCAGGGAGUCGAGAAAGGAUCUCUGGCUGAGGUUGAUAACACUUCUACUACUUUACUCUAUGCUACUCUACUCCCUCCUGUUGCUACAAGAUGGUGGUUUCCAGAAGAUGCUAGUCUUCGAUAGGCUAGGCUUUCCCCUUCUCUUCUGGCAUUCUGCAGUCCAGUCCACAGAUACAACCCUUUUCAUUGAUACCGAUGCAUAUGUAGUGUAGAUCCUUGCUUGCGAGUACUUUGGAUGAGUACUCACGGUUGAUUUGCUCCCCCUUUUCCCCCUUUUCCAUUCUUCUCGGAUGUCGCAAGCAGAUGGUGGAGCCCAGGAUCCAGACGCCACCUUCGACAAUGACUGCUACUACACUGAGGGUGCCUACUACUACGUGGAGGCCGCCAACGACCAGGAGUAGUUAGGAGGCUCUCAGGCAGGAGGCCUUGCCUUUUCGAUCGUAAAUGCUUUUGUGUUGUCCUUCUUAAGGCAAACUUGUCUAACUUAUGUCUGUACUCAGAUAUUGUUGCUUCCGCUGACUCUUGUGUUUUCGAGCUUAUAUAUUCAAGCCCUCGAGGCCCCUGGCUUGUAAUAUAAAGCUUGUAUUAUUUUAAUUUGUGUCUAGAGUUGUGUUGUGAUAUCUUCCCGUGAGUCCUUGAUCUUGAUCUACACAUUUGCGUGUAUGAUUAGUGUACAAUUGAAUCGAGGGCGUCACAAGUUAGUAUCAAAGCCGACUGCCUGUAGGUAGCCCCCUUUCCAACUCCUUGGCCAAAGUUGAGUCUAGUCAUCCAAAACUGUUUUACUAACUUGGCUGUGUGGCUUACGGGCGCACGUCGCCAUUGGGUGGUAUUAGGAUCUUUCAUUCCUCGUCUAUACUCUUGGACUCUGAUCUCUCGUCUAUUCGGGUUAAACAUUUUACUAACUCUGACAUUAGGCUCUCGUACCCACUUCCUCCCGGAGAGCCCCGACAUUAUCGAUGAUCGGUUGCUUCGCCAGAAGAUUCUGCGGAUACUCCUCGAUGUUUCCUGAGACCCUGUGCCCACUGCUUUGCAGUUCCUGACCACCGAUAAGUCCCCAUGGAUAACAUCCUUGCCGUUUGUACCUUCAUCCCCGGUUGCUCUUGUUGUUACAAGUUACCCCUAACACUCUCCGUUGUUCCGAGAAUCCUUUGUGCCUUAUGCUUGUCAGCUUCUUUUCGCACUAUGGAUAAUUUACUUACCCGGGGUCCGUUCCUCCCCAGUUGUUCACGUGCUUUCCAAAAUACUUUGAAAUGCUAUCUGAUCUCCCAAAAAUCCUCCACAGCCUUUUACUUUUGAUUCACCUUGCCUGCUUGUAUUAUGGUUAAUUCCAUAUGUCUAGCAAUAUUUAUUAAGAACCUUUGUGUUUGUCAUUCUGUUCCUAUGAAUUCUACGUAUAUGCGACUACUCGCAAUCAUCAAUUGAUCCAUAGGAAUUUUCUUUCCGGCUCAGACAUCAUUCCGGAUAUGAGCUGGUUCUUGCCCAAUCAAGAUUCGAUCGGUGUGCCUCUAAGUCUGUUCAACCUAUCCAUCUUCGAUCGGAGCAUCUGAUUCUAAUACACCGAUCUAGAAAUCAAAUCAUCUUGUAUUUAAGCAUUGAAUUAUUCAGAUGUUACCAUAAACCGGUGCCCUUGCAUUUCUUAUUCUUCUGGUUGAAUACUGAUACUCACAUCAACUCCGUCGUGAAUCGCCAGGUCCUUUGUUGGAUUUUAUCUGACAGUGUCCUUCAUAUUCUAUCACCUUGUGAAUAAUGCCUUUGGUAAAUUUGUAUCCUCUGCUUUUGUCAACCAUGCUUUACCUUCGAACUUGCGUUAAUUAUUCUUGAAAUUCAUGGUAUAUGUUCCUAAGAUGCCCCUAAGGGUUAAACCUAUGCCUUCCCUAGUCCGUGUGAACCCAAGAGUUUUCACGAGUCAUACUCUUCUGGUAUUUUGCCAGAUAUAUUUUCAAAACCACAACUUCAUCGAAAGUGAGAAGUGAAUGAGAGGUUAUGCAUUGAAGAAGUGGGAGUCGAUCUUGAACUUUGUGUUCAUGCCACUGGAACCGAUGUAGAACUUAUCGUGGAAGCUGCUCGUAAAAAUGAUUACCCCUUGUUAUAAGUUCAUCUUGUAUCGGUGGUUUGAUCAUUCAUAACCGUGGUUCCGACCAUAGUUUCUCCUUAAUUCCAUUUCCCGGACAAGUUAAAAUACUUGUCUCCUGCAAGUCAUUUCACCUGUCCAACCUCUAAUUUGACCUACCUUCAAGUAUUGCCUCAUGUUAUCUCGAGGAUAUUGUGUCACUGCACUACCUCUUGUAAAUUCUUAAUUGAAGUGAUACUCCGUCACAUCAUUCCUAGCCUGUUUGGCUACAUCAUUAUCGUCCUAAAUUUUAACUGUGCUACCUGGUCCUUUCCGGAGCACAAUUCUUCAAUGAUGAGCUAAGCUUACGUCGCUCUUCCCCGUCUUAUCAUUUUGCCUUGAACAACAAGCUUGGUUUCGAGUUUGUGUCGUACCCGUGGUUCCAAUAACCUUUCGCUCAUCAUUCCUUUGACUUGAUGUCAUCGUCGAACGAUUACCUCUUCAUGAAAUCUCUCGACAAAGGUGUCGUGAUCAUCAUCAACAUUCUGAGCUCUUCCAGGAUAUCAAUUGAAUUCGUGAUGAGAAAUACCCUCCUUGCCCCUCGAUGAUUUGUGUUAUCAUCGACAACAUUCUUGCUUUCCCCCCUAGACAAACUUGUUCAUAUAAUUUUGGAAAUACAUCCUUUCGACAUGCCGAGGGAUUGCAGCUGAACCCAUCGGCCACAUCCUCAUCCUUUUCCUGAUAAAAUUGCAUGAGAUGUUCUAAAAAUUCCCAAUGGAUCCUUUGUGUAUCCGAAGUCUGACCUUUCCCUGAUGACCAUGUCAACACUAUCCCGAAGCAUGUGUGUGGUACUCCGAUCAUCAACGAGAACAUUGGGAGCGCAAUGCUAACUGUUCUUGAUCAAUUAUCCAAACACCGUUGUAUGGGUAAACCUCAUAAAUUCCUUGCCCCUUUGUCUAAAUGGUUUAAUACUUGGAGCCCUAUCAUGCUCUGCCUUUCCUUGGGAAAGUUAUACCCUAAUACUUGGGUAUAAACACAUUUUCCUUUCCAUUGGUCUGAUUAAUCCGAUAAUUUCAUUUUCCUUUCCGUUGGCUUGUUUAAUCUUCUUGUGAUCUAUAUGAUAUAAGCAGAAUAAUUCCCUGCUUAUAAAACACCCCGAUGUACAACCUUGUCAGUGAGACCCUGUUACUAUUGUUGAUGACAUUCCGGUAACCACCGAUGGACGCGAACCUUGCCGAUUGGUCCGCCUCGUUCAACGAGCAGGAAUAUGGUUCUCUUCGUCCCUCGCCCUUGGUACCAAACCUUGUUGCCAACAUAACUGACAGGCUAUCCUCUAACCUAUCUUGCUAUCAUGAUCAUGCAAGAUGACAGCGCCCUCCCUACUUUUAACCCACAUGGUGGGCCCAUAACCCACAGUUCCACAGGAUCGAAACCUGACUCUCCUGUACGUCCCUGUUUUCCAAAACUGUCCCUCGCGCUUGGCUUACCCACGUAGUGAUCUAUUCUGGUAUCAUACGCAAUACUUAUUCCCAUUGCUCUGAACCCCUUUCACCCUCUGUUUCAGGCAACGAACGAUUGCCUACCCGGUUGAAGCUUCUUAUUGCUCCUUCUUACCUUGCUCUCGAUGACUUUCUUGAAUUUCAACUCGAGAGAUGCCUCUAUGCCACGUUCACCGAGAUAGCCCCCAGGUACCUAUCUUGUUUUGAACUCCAUCCAUCCCGAGUCUUCCCCAUUACUCCACCUCUUAAAUCUCGAGACGAGAUUUCUUGUAGUGGAGGAGAUUUGUAACACCCCGAAAAUCAUGCUACAGUAAUCCCCUUUAAAUGAUGCCUUGUCAUCAUUGUUACUGUUGCUAAUCUCACUUUGAUUCUAUUCUAGUCCAAAUCUCAAUUUCAAAUUAAAGUCAAAAUUCUAAAUUGCUCAAACAUGAAAACUAAAAUGCUCAUCAUGUGGCAAAUAUCCUUUUGGCAAUAUUGGUGGUGAACCAACAUUUUUGCAAAGUGUUUAAAUGCCCUAAACUAAUUAAAACAAUGGUUAAAACGUUGCUUAAAUGCCUUUUUGUUUUAUAAAAAUGCUAAGCUAAUUUAUUUAACUACCAAACUAAUUGUGGCAGUAGUCUAAAUUAUAAUAAUAAUUUAGGUUAAAGCUUUGUGUUUUAUAAAAUUGUUUUGCCUUUUGAAAUUAAAAGAAAACAAAGAAAUUUCAAAAAAAGCCCCCCCACUGGGCCAACCGGCCCAGCUGGCCACCAGGCCGACUAGGCCGGCCCACCCCACUCCCCUAUACACCCCCUCUGCCCAAACCCUAACCGAAACCCAGCACCCCCAUUCCCCCCCACUCGUUCGCCUGUCCCCUCCCCCUCCUCUCGUUCCCGAUCUGGAUCGGGAAGGGGAGCGAUCCCGACCCCCUUCGCCGUCACCAUCUCCACUUGCCGUCGUCGACCACCGCCGCCGCACGAGGACCCGAAGCCGCCUAACGCUGCCCCGCCGUCGCCGCGUCCCCAUCCUCAUCCCCACCGGACUGCGCCCGCCUUCCCGCCGCCGCGACGCCACCCCGUCGUCCUCGUCUCCUCCUCGCCGGACGCAACCUCGACUCCUCCCCAAGUCCGCUGCCAUUCCCCUAUGGCCCCGCCGUGAGCACCUCCCUCCUCCUCCCUCGCCUCCUCUGUGCGCGCGCCCACCGUCACCGUGCGCCCCGGCUGCCCCGCCUGCAGUUGCCGCGGACCGCGCACGCCCACAACCGUGUCGGCCGCGCCGUCGCCCUCGUCGGCUACCUCUGCACCGCCUCCACUCGCCGGCGGCUGCAGCGCGUCCCUCCUCUGCAACCCCAUCGCCGCUUCCCACCGCGACAUCCUGCCCCUCGCCGUGCUCCCCCGCACCUCGUAUUGCGACCAGCGCCGUCCGCGAGCGAUCCCCGCCGAGCCCGCUCGCUGGCCGCGUCCUCCCCCAGCGCCAGCCUCGCCGCCCACCUCUGUCCCCGCUUCGCCGCACCACCGNNNNNNNNNNNNNNNNNNNNNNNNNNNNNNNNNNNNNNNNNNNNNNNNNNNNNNNNNNNNNNNNNNNNNNNNNNNNNNNNNNNNNNNNNNNNNNNNNNNNNNNNNNNNNNNNNNNNNNNNNNNNNNNNNNNNNNNNNNNNNNNNNNNNNNNNNNNNNNNNNNNNNNNNNNNNNNNNNNNNNNNNNNNNNNNNNNNNNNNNNNNNNNNNNNNNNNNNNNNNNNNNNNNNNNNNNNNNNNNNNNNNNNNNNGUCCGCGCCCAACGCCACUCCGCCGCGCCGCGCACUCCGGCGUCCGACGCCCGGUGCCCGCGCCCGCGCCCCCUCGGGCUCCGCCCCUGCCCGUUCGCCCGUAACCGCACAUCCGCCCCGCUAAGGCCCUGGGCCUAUGGCGAUGGGGCCCACGCCCCUGUCUUAAGAAAAACGAAAAAAGAAAUGUUAAUAAAAAUAAAAUAAAUACUAAAAUAAUUAAUUAAUUAAUUAGUGGUUCAGUUAAUUAACUUAAUUAAUUUUGCCUAAUUAACUAAUUAGCUAAUUAGUUAGUCAGAGGACUCUAUGACAGUGGGGCCCCACCCCUAGUUAGCUUAAUUUAAACCCCCCUUUUAAAUAUGUGACACUCACAGAUGGGCCCCAUUGACCCUGUUGACUGGUCAACUUUGACCCGGUCAACGCUGACUGUACUGCUGACUGGGCAUUGACCGGCCCCACAAAUCAGGGUUGACCAUGGUCAACUCAGCUGACUGAUGACGUCAUGAUGACGUCAUGCUGGUGCAAUAAUCCUAUUUUAGUUUAAUAAUAAAUCUAGGAUAUUGCUUAAACUUCAUAAAUUCAUAUAAAAUAAUCUGUAACUCGGAUGAAAAAGUUUUAUACAUGAAAGUUGCUCAGAACGACGAGACGAAUCCGAAUACACAGUCCGUUUACCUGUCAGAUGCCUCUAACAAUCUGAACAUGGAACAUUCCCCCUCCGGUCAUUUGUUUGACACAGGUCCGGAACCGGGAAUACAUUCCCGGUUGAAUUCCCCCUUCACCUAUAUCGUGUAGCCAUGCGUUAGGUCACACCCGGCACAGCAUAUUGCCACGUUAUGCUUUGUGAUGCUAUGUUUGCUUUAUAUUUACUGUUUCUUCUCCCUCUUCCCUCCGGUAGACCCCGAGACCGAUGCUGCCCCUGUGAUCGACUACGUCGACGAUGACCCCUCCUUGCCAGAGCAACCAGGCAAGCCCCCCCUUUGAUCAUCCCGAUAUCACCCAUUCCAUUCUCUCAUGCUUGCAUUAGAUUUUGCUACUGUUAUUGUUUGCUCCUAUUCUGAUGCAUAGCCUGCUUUUGUAACCUGCUUAUUGUUACCUACCUGCUUAUCCUAAACUGCUUAGUAUAGGUUGGUUAGUGAUCCAUCAGUGACCCCCACCUUGUUCUUGUUGCCCCUGCUUCAUCAUCGAAGACCCGAUCAAUGGGAUCAAAGACCAGGCCCCGGCACCGCACAUCACUUUCCCCUUAGUUGCUCGACACUACUGGGUUACUAUCGAGUGCCGAGGGUGAGACCUCUACAGCACUUCUGAUGUUAACCCUGUAGUGUAGCUAUUCGGUCGUGGUCAUCGAGGGUGAUUCCGCCUUAACCACUUCUGAUACGACUCUGUCGUGCAACCCCUCAAGUGUGAACCUCGGGGGUGAUUCCUCUUACGUUCACCUUGAUGAUUACAUCGAGUGGAAUUCACCGGGGGUGAUUCCUCGGGUUUUCCCCUUGAUGUUUGGACACACAGUUACUAUGGUUACUAUGACUUUACACUGAACCAUGUUACUAAAGACGGGUCGGCCCUGAGGGGUACCCGCGCGAGCUUAAUUGCGAGUGAUGUGGAGACGGGUUGACCUGGAGGGUGCCCGCGAGAUAAUUACGAGCGUGGCCGGGCAUUCCUAGCCCUUGCCGCAAGUCCUCGAGACGGGGCAACGGGGUCACAUCUUUCAUGAGUCUCUGCUUGUUACCGUGCGUUCCUAAUCCACUACGAUUUGGAUAUUUGAUCCGAGGGGCCUCUGGCCUGAUAGCACUAACCAUCACGUGGGCAUAGUAUGGGCGUUCUGCGUCGUAUACAUCAGCCGAAGCUUAAUAGACGUCAGCGACUGAACGGCGCGCGCCGGGUUGGACUGCAUAAGAACCUGCCUUGUUGAAGGAGGUAGCUAGGUCUGCUCACCGGUCGCGUUCGCAACGUGCAGGAGUUUCCGGGGAGAUGGCCCAUGACCCCUGGGGGCAUAGGUUUAGUCUGGCGUGCUGACCUCUCUAUUAAGCCUAGGUCGGGUUGCGGCGUAUUGUUUGGCCGAGGCCGGGCAUGACUCAGGAAAGUGUGUCCGGCCGGAGUUAAUCGAGCGUGGUGGGUAAGUUGGUGCACCCCUGCAGGGAAGAAAACAUCUAUCGAUAGCUUGUCCUACGGUAACGGACACUUGGAGUUGUAUCCCGAUCGAUACAACUAGAACUGGAUACUUGAGAUGAGACAUGGAUAUGAGAAAUGGAUAGUAUGGCUCUGGGAUUGCUUUCUUGCAGGGAGUCGAGAAAGGAUCUCUGGCCGAGGUUGAUAACACUUCUACUACUUUACUUUAUGCUACUCUACUCCCUCCUGUUGCUGCAAGAUGGUGGUUUCCAGAAGAUGCUAGUCUUCGAUAGGCUAGGCUUUCCCCUUCUCUUCUGGCAUUCUGCAGUCCAGUCCACAGAUACAACCCUUUUCAUUGAUACCGAUGCAUAUGUAGUGUAGAUCCUUGCUUGCGAGUACUUUGGAUGAGUACUCACGGUUGCUUUGCUCCCCCCUUUUCCCCCUUUUCCAUUCUUCUCGGAUGUCGCAACCAGAUGGUGGAGCCCAGGAUCCAGACGCCACCUUCGACGACGACUGCUACUACACUGAGGGUGCCUACUACUACGUGGAGGCCGCCGACGACCAGGAGUAGUUAGGAGGCUCCCAGGCAGGAGGCCUUGCCUUUUUUAUCGUAAAUGCUUUUGUGCUGGCCUUCUUAAGGCAAACUUGUCUAACUUAUGUCUGUACUCAGAUAUUGUUGCUUCCGCUGACUCUUGUGUUUUCGAGCUUAUAUAUUCGAGCCCUCGAGGCCCCUGGCUUGUAAUAUAAAGCGUGUAUUAUUUUAAUUUGUGUCUAGAGUUGUGUUGUGAUAUCUUCCCGUGAGUCCUUGAUCUUGAUCGUACACAUUUGCGUGUAUGAUUAGUGUACGAUUGAAUCGAGGGCGUCACAGCCCGAACCUGGGUAAUUGAUGUGUCCAUCUUCUUCCUUCUUCACCGAGUUAGGCCGUGCGGACGACGAGAUGGCUGGCUAAAGAGGUCAAGUUCUUCGCACACGCCCCAGAGUUCGAACCUUUCUUGGAUCUGCGGAGCCCUGAAUAUCUUAACGCUCUUAUUGCACUUGAACAAUGAGAUUUUGACAAGAAGUCUGGGAAACAUGCAUUUAAUUCUAAUAUAAUCCCUAGAAAAAAAUGGUAUAAAAAACCGCUUUCAUGCACCUAGUGAAUAAAUUGCUUUUCCUAGUAUAUGAGAGAGGGGAAUUUUUUCGAUUAAACUUCACAUUCAUGCUUAUAAAUUUGUGGUGAAUUUAAACUUUCAUUCAAAUCACUAGUCAAUUUGCUAUAAAAUUUGACAUGACCUUUGCUCUUAUUUAGAGUUUUGGUUCAUUCUCAAAUCAUAAAUAGUAUGAAGGACUUAGAAGUUAAUAGUACAAUUCAAUAUGAAUUGGAAAUUCAUUUAUAAAUAAUAAACAACUGAAUAAGGGAAAAUCAAACUUUAUUGAUAAUUGGGAAAUAAUACAAAGUUAUGUUACAAAAAAAUAAAGGAAACUUUAUUAAAAAAUACCAUUACAAAUUCUUACAAAAAGAAUGAACAGUAAAUCUAUCUAUUUUCUAUCCUAUUAUAAAUCUUCAAGAUCUUCUUGAUCUUCUUCAUUUCCAAAAUCUGCAAAAGAAGUACCAAAGGAAAAAAAGAAAUUAUUAUUGUUAAAAGCGCCCCCUCCUUCAUGGAGGGAUAGUAAGAUUGAGCCCACCUCCAUCCUCUUCUCAAUUUCCCAAGUCGUCCUUCGUCUCGGUUCUAGUAUCGCGUUAGAUCUCUGAACUGAAGCCAGAUUGAGCUCGCCGUUUCCGGUGGGUCGUCGGCGUCGGAGUGGACGUUGGAGGGGCCAGUGUUUUGUGUGGCCGGGAGGGAGGGAGUGGGUUGGGUUCGUUAGUGGGUGACGUCGGCCCCGCAUCCCUCGCCUCGCGACUCGUCGUUGCUGCCUUUCUUAUGUGUCUGUCAGUAGGAGUGGUUGCCUCAGCCAACCACCGCUGUCCGUCACGCUAGGCCUUCUGGUGCGGAAAGAUAUUUGUGAUUCGUAAAUAAUAAAUAAAAAUAGGUAGUUAGACCGUUUAUUGAAAUGACACCAGCUGAAGGUCAACGUUUUCUGAGACCUUUUCAUAUUUCCAGUACAAUUUAUCCAAAACUUAGUUACCACAGAAUUCAGAGGAGCAUGCCUGGAAGUGUCGUAUUCCAUUUUUCUCUUGUUCGGAGCAUACAAUGUACACUGAUUUAUCUACUACUACCUCCGUUCCUAAAUAUAAGUCUUUUUAGAUAUUUCACUACGGACUAUAUAUGAAGUAAAAUGAGUAAAUCUACGCUCUAAAAUAUGUCUAUAUACAUCCGUAUAUAGUUCAUAAUAGAAUCUCUAAAAAGACUUACAUUUAGAAACGGAGGAAGUAUAUGGAACUUGCAGAAAUACGAGUGUAGCGACACCAGCUUGCUGACAUGCAUUCUCUCUCUCUCUUUGUGUUUUGACAGCUUGGCCGCCCUUUGUUGCUGCUGUCUGCUGGAAGCUUGCUUCUAAGUUCUAUAUUGAAAAUUGUGAUUGGUUGCUAAUUAGUACUCCCUCUGUCCUGUAAUGUAGGACGUUUUUGCAAGCUAACAAAAACGUCUUACAUUAUGGAACGGAGGGAGUAGGAGAUUACAAGAACUCCUUGACGUCAUGUUUGUAUGUUCAGAUGGUUGCUGCACCUUUUCACAAAAGAAGAGAUGAUUGAUGUACCCAGUGAACAAGAAAAAUCGAGCAUGAAAGCUCUAGCAAAGCCAGAAUACCCUGAAGAAAAGGCUAAUCCACGGCAUGCUGUCUGAAGAUAAAACUAAUUCACAGUAGAAUAUACUACUCCCUCCGUAAACUAAUAUAAGAACGUUUAGAUCACUACUUUAGUUAUCUAAACGCUCUUAUAUUAGUUUACAGAGGGAGUACCUUUUAUGUCAGACACACACCAAUAAUAACUUGGAAAUUCAGCAGGGUUUCAACAACAUAACAAACUUGGAAAUUCAGCAGGGUUUCAACAAAAUAACAGACCACGACAGUACCAAGGGAGUGCCACUAGUGAGCAUCCGACAGAUUACUGCUGCACACCAUUACAGCAGCAUACACACACAUACACAUAACAGAACGGAGGAGAGGCGAAAGCAUCAACUGAAGGCCGUCACUCAGUGGCAACCAGCGGCAUGUUUCUGCGGCCUGAUCCAGUCGUGCAGCACCAUGGUCACCCUGUCGUGCUGCUUCACGGAGGAUCCGUGCAGGAGCGGGGCGGCGCGGGCGAGGACGCGGUUGUAGUGGACGUACUCCUUCUGCCGGAACCUCUCCUGCUCGGGCGGCGUCAUCUCGUCCCACUGAGCGUGCAGCUUCUCUGACAGGCUCCGGUCGAUGUUGUACCUGGUGGCGCCGAAGCACGUCUGGCUCAGGACCCGCCUUGCCAGGGUCUGCAGGUCGGGCACGCGAGCCCCGUGGGUCGACCACCAUUCAACUGCGAAUGUCGAGUGAAGCGCGGUAAGAAGGUGCGUAAUUCAUGUAGUAUGAUAUGAACGGAUGAAUGAAAUGGUGAUCAUCUCAGUGGGUGUAAAUGUUUGGGUUUGAAAGUUGAAGUGAAAAUGGAAGAAGAGAAGGCUCCUGUACAGUUUAAGCAGACCAUAUAGCCCAGUUUGCAACUUGCAACUAACUAAGCAGCUAUGUUGACAAGCUUAGGCUGAUGCAGAGAACUUGAUUAUUCUACACGUUCAUCUGUAAACCUUUUAACUUCUCUACUACUCCCUCUGUCCCAUAAUGCAAAAACGUCUUACAUUAUGGAACGGCGGGAGCAUUUAUUUAAACAACCAUGUCGACAAGUUAGGCUAAUGCAGAGGAGUUGAACUUUGAAUAGAAGUGCACUUAUGACAUGAUAUAUUUGUGCCAUGUUCACAUGCUAACUAAAUAUGUUGGCGCACUGUAUGUUACGGUGCACAAAUGCACAUAUCAGAUUUUGUGGAGGACCUCAGACACUAUUCCAGCUCACUCUAAAGAUUGGAAAAAAUCAAGUACAUAUGACACAUAAAGGCACUACCGUCAGUGGCUUGUUAGGGAGUGGUCAUUUUGCAAUAGGUUAGGGUGUAGCUUACCUUGUGGUAAUUCCAUGAUUUGCUGCAUUGCUGGAUCUGUGUCGAAAUAGCCCAACUUCUUUUCAUACACUUCCAAUUGUGCAGACGCUUUUCUGGCAUUGUAAUGAGCCUUGCCCAGUUGGAUUGUGCAUGCCGCGAUGCCGCCGCUGAUCUCAGCAUCAGGCUGGAAUCCAGCUGUGUAAAAGAACCUUGGGUUUAGCAUCUGACCAGCAGCAUGGAGGGGACUAUGCAAGUAACCAUCCCAUAUCCUGUCAAUCAUACACCAAUAGAAGUCACUUUCAUAUCCGACACUGAGAGAUAUCUCUUCUUUUGCUCUGUCCAUGGCUUCAUACAAGAUACCCAUCGGACAGAUAUCAGAUUCCAGUUUAUACAACACAAUGACAAGUGGUUUUGUAACCUUCACGACUUCAGCAGCAGCAUGCCAAAAUUCAUCGUCUGUCUUUACUAUGCUCUGGAUAUGCUCAAACAAAUCAAGACAAGCCCAACCAGAGGGAACCCAUUUAGGCGAGCUGAACAUCUGCACCAGACCUACUCUUGCAGAAACUAACCUCUCUAAUGUGAUGAACACUGCCACAAAUCUCAGAUAAGAACUGCUCAAAAUCUCCACCUGAACAUAUCUUCCUUUCAGUUUCAUUGGCAGUGCAUGGCCAUAUAAAAACCUUGUAAUUUCCCUUGCCUUCAUUAGGACUUCACUGACAUGCUCGAGCGCUGCUAUUUUCUCAAGCAGAAGGUUGAUGCAAUGGUCAGCACAUAGCACGAAGAAAAAACUGUCAUAUUUAUUUAGCACAUACUGCCGUGCCAUCUGCAUAUGGGGUGACACGUCAUUCAUGACAAUCUGAACAAUGUUAUGGGCACCGACAUCAUCAACCACGCGAGAAAGCAUUGAUUCUAGCUCAUCCAAGUCCUCAGUGAUUUCAGAGACGUCAAUGGAUGUGAGGAACUGCGUACCUUUGCUGCAGUGCACCAGGACACUUACGAAGCUUUUGUCACACUUGCUCUUCCAACUAUCAACAAUUACAGUGCAGCCACUUGUUUGCCACUCUUGCUUGAGUUCCUUUGCGCGGUUCUCAGUUUCUCUUAGUUGCUCCUGCAGAACAGCUUCGUACGUAGGCUCAGGUGCAGGUUUGGAGAAGAACUUGCCUAUUGAUUUUGCUGACGGAGAAUCGAAGUAAUCACUUGCCUCAACCUUGGGUUUCAGUUGACAAGAAUUAUAUGUGAUUUCCUUGGGCUGCCUCAAAUACGGUAGAAAAUGAAGAAAGCAGCGGUUAUUGGAUACAGUUGGUUGUAGCUGUGGUUGCUGGACUUGAGCAGAUGGAAGGGCUGGGCUUGUGUGAGGAACCUCAUCAUGUUCAUGCUUCCGUUUCUUCAUUUUUCUGAGCAUCCAAGCUUUCUCUUCUUGCGAUCCACAAGUGAACUCCUUAAGCUUGUGCUGGCAUUGCCCCUGAUGUCUGCUAAAUGGUGCUCUAGGCGGUUGUAACUCAAAACCACCUUAACGCAGUAAUUGCAGCUCACUCUGCAACCUUCCUCAUCAAUGGUUUUGCCAUGCCUUUCUUUUCCACGGCUACUUGUCUGAGGAUAUUGUACAGAAAAAACCUGAAGGAAAGCAAUGAGAGAUACUUCAGUAAUGCAAAAAUUAAAAUGUCAAAUUCCCAAAACAUGAGUGCAACAUUUCACCAAUGAUUAGAUUUCAUCUGCUUCCUCUUAAUGACAGCACAUGAUGUAUGCUAGUGAUGAAUUUACCACAUGUCAACAGAGAAGACUGUGAUCCAACUAAACACUGUACCUUAGAAGUUUAUAAACACAGUAUUACUGGAUGAAACAGUUUGUUCUGUAUUUUUUUUCCCAAUAAAGAACAGUUUGUCUGUAUAACUCUUCAAGAAGAACACAUAAAGACUGCACGAUGAUCUUACAAAGCCAGUAACAUACCCCCUCUGACACCCUCCUCUCCCCCGCCGCUUGAUCUCCCUCCUCCGGCCAACUCCUCCACAACAAAGAGCAGAUCCGGAACCCUCUCGCCACCCAUACCGAAGUCCAGCGGCGCCGUCACCAGGGUCGGAGCCGCCGUCGACCUCCACGCCUGACUUCAUCCCAGCUCGCUCGCUCCCGUACGGCCCCCUCGGCCGCACCGGGGCGCCCCAGCCGGCCGCCCUCGGCCUACCCUGCCUCGCCCCUCCCCCUCGCCGCCGCUGGAGGGUGCCGUCUGGGCAAAGUCUGGGCGGCACGGGCGGCAGCGGGGCCUCAACUGUCUUUGGCGGCGCUGGUUCUCGGGGCUCCGACGGGGGCCUCGUGAUCCCGUGCGGUGCCAGGCGUGCUGCCCGACGGGGGUCUGUGCAGCGCUCGGGCGACGGCUCCGGCCGCGAGGGGCGCGGUGGUGCGCGGAUCGGGGUGUGUGCACCGCUCAGCGGCUGUGCUGAUUGCGCCCGGUUUCCUUUAGUACUGUAUAUCUGUUUUUCGCUCGGUGUUUCCUAAUUAAUCAAGAAACUUAUCUUUUUAAUGAAUGCAGAAAUCCCGUCAUUCGGAAAAACAAUACCCCUCUGAAACAAAUGGCGUGCAGUGACUUUUUUCCUGAUACUAAAAUUAAAAAAAGUUCAUAGUUUUAGCAAUUCCUUCAAAUCGGCUCAAACCCCUUUCAAAACCUAACAUUACGCUGCCCAAUUCACAAAAAACAGACAAAACCUAAAAUGAAGAAAGGGGAAUUCUUCGGGCAUGCUCCAAUGCACACCCUCUGUGUAGAAGAAAGCCGCAAAUGACUUUGACUGUUUGCCAUUUCUGGACAUUGACGAGACGACGGGUUUUAGUUGAGGAAAGGACAUUCACUGAUGGGUGGGUGAACAAAUUUUGUUGGAGAACAACAUUUCAUUCUUUUUACCAUGAUAUGCUUUUAAUAGUUAGAUCAGCAAUUAUUUCUGAAAUCGCGGUCACCAGAAAAGGCAACAGAAACUUCGGUGGAUUAUUGGGGCAAACCUCGAUGAACCAAGCAUGGUUCGAAAGAGAAUCCUACGGGGGUGGAUGUGUACUAGAGAGACAUUGGAAAACAAACAAAGAUAGGCUGGAAAAAAAUGUAAAACCCAAGUGAGAUGGGUGUUGUGUUGGAUACAUAUUCACUUGAUUGGUUACUUCGGAGAAUUUCAUCGGCAUAAACAAAAUUCCAAAGAACACCUUGGGAUAAUCCUAGUUCUUAAUGUUGCAUUUGAACAAUGAGAUUUCAAAAAAAGCCCGAGAAAUAUGCAUUUAGUUCUAAUAUACUCCCUAGAAAAAUAGAAAUGGUAUCAACAAAAACCUUUUAUGCUCCUAGUGAAUAAAUUGCUUUUACUUACCUUUGACUUUAGAUCUCGUCUUCUCCGUUCCAAGUGGGGCAAUGGUUGUGGUGCGCUGGAAAAGGGUGAAUGGUGCGGCGCGUCUGGGCCUUGCUAUAAUCCUAGUUGAAUAUCUGAACGCACUUACUGCACUUGAACAAUGAGAUUUCCAUGGAAGCCUGGGAAAUAUGCAUUUAGUUCUAAUAUGCUCCCUAGAAAAUACAAAAGAUGGUAUGAAUAGAAUCCUUUAUGCUCCUAGAGAAUAAAUUAUUUUUUCUUACCUUUGACUUUGGAUCUCGCCGUCUUCAUCCAAGAUGUAAAAAGAGGAUGGCCUGGGCAGCGACUGUGGUGCGUCGGGAAAGGGCGGAUGGUGCAGUGCGCCGGUGCCUUAGAAUACCACAAUCUCACCUAAGAGGAAACACAUAGAUGAUGGAUUUACGAGGGCAAACAUAUCUAGAGAGUGGAAGUGGCGGCGGUGGAUGGAGGAGAAGAUAGUUAGAUCUGGACAAUGUUCAUGGUUGCCGGUGGAGGAGAAGAUAGUUAGGUCUAAGGAGUGGUGGUGGCGGCGACGGAUGGAGGAGAAUAUGGUUAGAUCUAGACAAUAUUGAUGGUUGCAGGUGGAGGAGAAGAUAGGUGGGUCUAGAUAAUGUUGAUGGUUGUGUCGUGUGGGAGGGGAUGGCUUUAUA
RNAcentral lists this long non-coding RNA (52454 nucleotides) under Triticum aestivum (bread wheat). RNAcentral describes it as "long non-coding RNA (TAES_LNC018307)". Lineage: Eukaryota; Viridiplantae; Streptophyta; Magnoliopsida; Poales; Poaceae. The record is from RNAcentral.